Molecule: long non-coding RNA, 58637 nt
Filed under: Triticum aestivum (bread wheat)
Lineage: Eukaryota; Viridiplantae; Streptophyta; Magnoliopsida; Poales; Poaceae
Description: long non-coding RNA (TAES_LNC015841)
Source: RNAcentral
UGUUCACGACCAGGAGCAUUUGAGUUGAGCUGAGAAAGGUACUUUGGCUACAGAACCACUUUUACAACGACAAAGAGAAAAAGGGCGUGCCAAGACGCAACCCUCCUUCUAGUACAGUCUUUUCUUUAUGGCGAGUCCAAUCUCCAAUCUUCUGUUGAUGUUGGAUGAGGCUUCAGUGUUCACCGUUACACCACAACCCAAAGCAAGAGACAUGGUAAGAUCACGUAAUAGGCAACGGCGGCGACGGGAGUCGGUGGCACGAGCACUGAAGAAGCAGACUCGUUGUAGUAGGGAAGGUAGCUGAUCGGAGGCGCCUGGUAGUACGGCUGCUGAGGCGUGUUUUGGCCGCCGCAGCAAACGGGUGUCGCCGGCGGGCACGGUCCCUGCAUGCCCGGUGAGGGCGGUGUCGUUGAUGGCGGCGAUGGAGGAGGGCCACCGUAGAUCGGCAGCGGCUGCGGUGGUGGCUGGCAUCCGGCGCCGUUGCACAGGCCUUGAGCCGUGGUGGCGUUGCCGCCUGCAGCGUCGCCGGCCUCAGAUGCUGCUGCUGCCGCAGCUGCACUGGCAAGCAGCAAGGCAUGCAGCAAGAGAAGCGUCAUAGUAUUGGAUGUUGCCGUAGUUGUUGUUGGAUAUUCUUGGCGUUCGUGUGUUGCGGUGGAGGGUUAUAUAAUCGGUCUGGGUGUAGAGGUAGGGCUGCAUGCACCGUGACACAUGGAGAGCCAUGUGUUGGAGGCUGAGAUGCCCUACGCUAGCUUAUGGAGACGGAGACACUGGCCGCUCUGUCACUUCUCAUGGUCAGCUUCGAGAUAACUGGAUAUACACGAGUGCGUACGUAGCAGCAGUUUCCAGCAAGAUUCAAGGGGAAAAAACAAAAGUAGUUUCCAGUUCUAUUAUAUCGAUUCAACGUGUGUGCAUACUGGGGCUACACCACGACUAUCUUCACCUACGUCAGCCACUUUGUCAUAGUGCAAACGCAGUUUCGGUGCCUACCAUACUUUUCCAACGAAAAACAUGACAUUCUCCCCACAAGAAACACGAGUUUAGCACAUCCAACACAAAAAACGCGAUGUGUUGGAUGUGCUAAAGUCGUGUUUUUGUGCUAAACACAAAAAACAGCUUUAGAAAUAACUGCUCACAACCAACACUGUCCUAAGAUCUUCGGUUCAGUACUUCAGUUACAACACAAGAGCAUAUGAGCAGUUAUUUGUAAAAGUUGAUUUUCUAAUACUCCCGAAAAUCACAUGAUUGAUCAUCCUGAGCUUUCCAGAUAAUUGAAGAAUAAAUCACAUUACCUGCAAACAAAAGAAUAAACCAGAUGAUGUUUAUUUAUUGCCAAAAAUCAGCAACGCGCAAUCUGACAACAAGUACAUAAGCCGGACCAGACCGAUAAAAAAACGACUGCCCCAGGGAACCAACAGGAGGGGGAAAAGCGAAGCACAACCUGCAGCUUUCCUGAGUACCCCAAAUAUUGCGGGCAGAGAGUUAACUGAUGCCUCAAGAAUUCUCAGUGUUUAGCCUCCUACUUGGUGAAACACGAAAUCUUGCAUCAUACUAUGAUCUGGUGAAAUCGUACGGUCAAGCAAUAAGUUUAACAGCUUCCGUUCCAGAGACAAGUGUAUCUUCUACAAAUGGUAUGGUCUUCCAUACUUUUAAUCCUACUGGCGCUGGACUAUUUUCAGGACCUGAAACAUAUGAACAUAUAUACAUCAAUAGUAUAUAAUGGAGUGACCGAAAGAAUGAAGAUAACCAAACUCUUUGUCCCAAGGCUGGCAAUACAAACCUUGACAUCUCGUGUCAUCCUCCAUACAAACUGACAUGUAAUGAGAACUAUUUAGCUUCGCGAGUGCAAAUAGCCAAUUCUCAGACAGACGAUCACACCCAGAGUUGGAAUCAUUACAUACUUUCGAUGCCUGGAAAAUCCGACGAGAGUCAAGGCAGACCGAUAAAGAUGAUUUACUGUUAGGUUGCAAUAACAUAAUGCACCUGACUUCGCUGAUGUCCUAUGAAGAGUAAAAAACAGACACUUAUCCCUAACGAAAAAAAUUAGGACAGUUACCAUGCAAAAGCCAAAAAACAGGGAAGGCAUCUACUUUUGAUUCCGUGUGCACGCAAUGGUUUGAGGGCAUGUACAAUGGUGGCAUAUGGAUACAGAUGCCCCAUGACAAAAAGUAGAUUGAGGCAUCUACAUUGAUUUUUUCUCCCCAAUGCAAGCUACCACUAGUGGGCCUCAUCAAAGAAUAGAAAAUAAAUACUUCCACUACACAUGCAUCUCUACUCUCCACUUCAACCUUUUUAGCUUUAUGCACCGGACCAUACUUUUCUCCCCAAGCACCCGCCUCCUACAGAGGAUCCCGCUGCUCCAUCCGAACCUAUUUUCCUGACAUCCGAUCCUGCGUGGCCUACGGGGCAUCACCCUGGGCUAUGCAUUGGCCAUGCCUGGCGUGAUUGCACAGCACAUGGUGGACCACACACAUGCUGUUUUCUACUUAUUUUGCUUUCUUAUUUGGAGGUUUGCCCCAUUGUUUUUCUAUUUGAUGAAAUACUGAUUUCUGCUAUAAAAUAUGUGACACAUGUGGAAUUUGAGAAUUUCUUGUGAUUCUUGCAUGAAACCCUGAAAUACAUGCGAAACACAUGCCAAAAAAGAUAAAUAAAAGGUCAAACAACUAUGAGUCUCCUCAAAUUUAUUGGCUUGGUUCAGAUCCAUGUAAAAUGCAUUGAAUUGUUUAGUGAAACUUGGUUUGGAUUACGGCAAAACCUGAUUAACCUGCUGCAAAACAUGUCUUAAAAUUUGCAAAACAUACGCUAUACAAUAUUUUGGAACAUGCUGGAGCCCGUGCAGUGAGAAAAAAAAAGGCUGAAAUGAUAUGUGAGAGUGAGUGGUAGGGAAUAUUACAUCUCAACCAUUGACAGAGAUGACCAAAAUAGAAGGUGAGAUGCUAGACCGGUUGUUUUAAGAACCAGCAGUACACCAUCCCAUAGCAGCAUUUUUUCGUAUAAAAUUCACUUAACAUGACAUCUGACCGUUGGGCCAAGACGUAGGUGUCACAUGUCAGAAGGUGUUACAAAUGUCACGUGAAAUUUUGUUCACACACAUAGUUCUAAAGCUCCCUGAUUAUAUGUCAAAAAAAGAAAGAAGGGGAAAGGUAAAAGCUACAUACCUUAGAAACCCGAAUUCCCUUGCUUGUUUUCAAGUUGAUUGUAAACUCAUUGAGUGGAGCACCUGACAAACCCAAUCCGAGAGCCUUUACAUAUGCUUCCUAUAAAUUUAGAAAUCAAUGAUCCUUCAAUGUGCAACAUCGUAUCAGUAGCCAUUAAUUCAAAUAGGCAAUAUUUGGUGCAUAACAUUCCUUUUUCCGCAAAUGGACCAUUCAUAAGAUGCCCACCUACGUGUACUUCAAUUUGAUUUAUUCAAUAUAGUUAUAUGUGGAGUUAGCAAGUUAACAUCUAAAAAGAGCUUGCACUAGAUACAUAUACCAAACCUGCAUUUCUAUAGCAAAGAACAACGAAGUCAGCUACAAUGUUUUAAUCUUUGAAGUGGUAUCUUACACUACAUGAUAGGGCAGUUGAUAUGUUCUAGCCUUGUAGUAAAAAAUAACAUAACUUCGCAAUGUUCUAAGGAAUGUAUAGCACAAUGAAGUGGUUGCAUAGGAAAGGGCUAUAAAGUAGAGGGCCAAAGAGAGACUCAUUAACUUUAAGAGUCCAUAGUUUGAAGAAUUCCUUUUCCUGAGCAUACGAAUCAGAAAUCUCAGUGAGAUAAUGAGCUUCUGAAGGGGUGAAAAAACAACGAGCAAGAGAUAAAAUACUCUUGGUUGUCUUCCGCUUCUUCUCUUCAAUAUCAAUGCCAAUCUAAAAAGGUACAUAAAACAGCAAUAUCAACUGAAUAACUUCCACAGCAACAGAAACAUGGUCAUGUCUUUCUCACUUUUGGCUGUCACAGGGACAAAGAACAUACAUUAGCAUCCAUGGCAAUGCCACAGGCAAUCAAAGAAGUAGUGUGUGAAAUGUUGAAAUGCAAGGGCAGCUCCACAAUAUCAUCGGAUGGCCACAAUAUCUGAUCAGACAUGGAAAGCAGCCAAAGGCAGUUGUUACAAGGCUUUAAAUUGCAGAAAAAAAGAACCACUGAAGACUAACCUCUUACCUCAGGUUUGUGAAAAUUGUUGUACAUAAACUCAAACGACCUCGGAUCAAUUUUACAAUCUGUAUCCAGUCUAAUUUAAACAGAUUAGCAAUAAGCAAUGACAUAUCAGUAUUCCUGUUAUGCUAUCAGUAACAACAGACAAAACAAGCAUAUAUUCUAAUUGUUGACAAGAUAAUAGAGCAGCGUGACAAGCUUCCAUAUUAUUACAAGUCAAAGGGCAGAUGGUUUCAUUCUCCAUUUUUAUGACUCUUUAUGGGAACAGCACAUGCAUCAGAAAGUGAUUGGGCACCUAAUAGGUCCUAAAGUGUUACUUGAGAAAGACAAAGUCAUUUGUGGAUGCAAGAGGUCAAAAGUUACAUUGAUCUUGAACCAUAUGUUCUCCAUAUAUUAAGACAGAUGAAUGCUUGAAUGGUCUCCUACAAUGCAAAGGCAGAGCUCCUGCUGUUCACGUACAAAAAUGCACGAAUGGAAGCCAUGCACCUAUAUACAGGAAAAAGUUCAAAGGGAAUAAAUCAUGGACUCAGUGCAUCCAAAGCAAUAAAUUGCAUAAAAUAGCUGAAUCCCCGGAAAUAUUAUACUAUUUUUGUUACAACAAUACCGAGUUUUCCCCAUAAUUACAGUAUAUAGACUAAGAAAAGUGUUUUUUUAUAGAGUCACCACCCCCAAGGAGAGGAUCCUAUGUGUUGUUAAUUCUAAGCAAUAUACACUUGUGAAUCAAACAUCAGCAGACAAUUUUCCUAAUUCCUAUUAACAAGAAUAUAGACAACACUGUCUCUUGAAUGAUAGAAACAGGAAUGAAACUUCAAUUAAAUGUGACAGACAAUGCAAAAGGAAGUUGGUGGUUACAUACAUCUUGAGAGGGUGGUGCGCUUCAAUGCACAGGACAACAUAGCAUGCUUCCGCAACGUUGUUUCCUUUAUAGAGUCAGCAUACUCCUUUUCAGCAGGAGAAAGGAGUUGUUUAUACAUCUCUAGUUGGGACUGAUCAUUCAGCUCACCCGGGCAAAGAUACCAAACAUGCACCUCUCUACAAAAGAGAUAAACACAUAAACUUAUGUCCUCGAAAUAUUCUAAUGCACCAAACAACUAUUACAAGAAAGAAAAAUCAACCAUUUGUAAAUGUACAGGAGUAUAGUCUCAUUACGAUACAGGCUUUGCCCAACCCCAGAGAACACUUAACCACCAAAAUCUAUCAUGUAUCCACAUGUCAAUAUGGGGAGACGCACAUAUCAGGGAGUAUAGUGGAACUAACAUUUUCAAAUAUAAAUAAAGGAAUGCACUAGAGCGCGACGGCCGAAAACGCUGCCAAAUCAUGGAUGAUGUCAUGACGACGGAAGAAUCAAUUGCAGCCACGUGUAAUCGACGGAGCAGGCUGUGUCACACUUUGGGACAGUGCAGUGAACGUUUGUGCCAUAUGAUUAAUUCCAGUAAAAUAAAACACAAUAGUCCCUGAUAAUUCUUGGGCCAGAAGUCCUUCAGUGAAUGCCCAGCACCAGCCCAAAUGAAAUCCACAAAACUACAGCCCUAGCAAACAAUCGCUGUACCUCAAAACAAAAAGCAAACAAUCGUCUCAUUCUGCAACAGUUGUUUAAAUUUUUAUUUGUUCAAUGUUCAUGUACUAUCCUACAAUCAUGCCCAUAAGAAAUUAAGGACUGUACAUAUUUGACAUUUAAUGAACAAGACAGGCUAUGGAUUAGCAGCUAAGAAGCUAGCAACAUCUUAGCUUCCUCUAACAUUGACUAGUAUAAUGCACUCCCUAUAUUCAAAUACACGUAAUUGAAAAUGCCAUAUCACCAAACACUGAUACACAUAUGUUGGGCAUCAAUAUAUCAUGUAUCUAGCUUCUAGCAACAUAGCCGUACUCAGGCUCCGCAAAACUAUAACCUGCAACAUACAGAUAAACGAAGGCAGAGAAGGGGGUGCACCUUCUGGACUGCAGAGGCGGCGCGGGCGGGAGGGGCGCAAAGAGGCGCCUGCCGGGAAUCCCAACGUCCUCGGAGGAGGCGGGGGCGGUGGUAGAGGCAUCGCGCGGCAGCGGGGGAGGUGGCGGUGCAUGCUGCUUGGCAUGUGCCGCCCAGUUUGGCUUGUAGCGGGGGCGUCGGCGGGUUGAUGGCUCGACGGCAGUGUAGAUUAUGGACAGGGGGUGUCGGAGAGAAGCGGCUCGGCGGUGGCACAGCUCCAGAGGCAGACCGCAAGGAGCAAGGCGGCGGCAGUGUCUCCAUUGAAGGCCCUCGGUCAGAUUUUAUUUUCUCUUAAUGGCCCUCGGUCAUAAUAUUAGGGUGCGUGGGAAUUCACAAUGAGCAAAACAGGUUUGACAUCACAAUGAGUAAACCAGGUUAGUAGACUAGUAGCAAUCCGAUGUAAUUCAUAUACAAAUACUUAUUUCAAAAGAACCCCGCAUUAUAUCGGUAAUUGUGCAACUCCCCUGACAACUAGGAUGGUUUAGGUUUUCCGUCACCGUAUCCAACCGUGCUCUCCUCCCCGUCGCCGUUGCUGACGGCCGCCGACACGCAUUGUCGACGGGUACCCCUCCACCUUUGACUCCGGGUGAAAAAUCUUGGUCUGGUCUUCUAGACCGAGCACGAUGGCGUGUUGUUGUCAUUUCCUUCUUGGAGAUAUAGUUCUGAGAGGUCUGGUCUAUAUGGAGUCGCUNNNNNNNNNNNNNNNNNNNNNNNNNNNNNNNNNNNNNNNNNNNNNNNNNNNNNNNNNNNNNNNNNNNNNNNNNNNNNNNNNNNNNNNNNNNNNNNNNNNNNNNNNNNNNNNNNNNNNNNNNNNNNNNNNNNNNNNNNNNNNNNNNNNNNNNNNNNNNNNNNNNNNNNNNNNNNNNNNNNNNNNNNNNNNNNNNNNNNNNNNNNNNNNNNNNNNNNNNNNNNNNNNNNNNNNNNNNNNNNNNNNNNNNNNNNNNNNNNNNNNNNNNNNNNNNNNNNNNNNNNNNNNNNNNNNNNNNNNNNNNNNNNNNNNNNNNNNNNNNNNNNNNNNNNNNNNNNNNNNNNNNNNNNNNNNGGAUGCGGGAGUGACGACCUUGUAUGGUGGGUUGCACGGUUGGCUCUCUGGUAAGCAACGUGGAGAUGGUGUUGCUUACUCCCCUUGGUCGUGUGGAUGGCAAGCAACGUGGAGACAGUGUUGCUUACUCCCCUUGGUCGUGUGGAUGGCAGGAGGAGUGUCGGCAGGUGGUCCCGCGCAUGGUGUUGCUGCCGGUGGCAGUGACUAAGCCCAAAUCUCGAUCUGUAGGCCUAGAUUCGUUCAUGAUGCCCCUCCCCUUGGUAGGAUCGAUGGCUUAGGUUCCUAGACGUGACACAAACAGAUACAGAGUGGACGCUUUGCACUCCACCGACAAUGAUGACGCCUAUGGGCAUCAUGCUCCUCUUGGGGCGCAGUUGUGGUAUUUUCCCCUAUGCAAGGGCUCUGGGUGUAAACCCUGCUUGCCCGCUCUAUUGGACUCGAUGGGGCGCAUUGCAUUGUGACCUACUACUUGGGAUGUCGCUGGGGAGAUCGUGUUUUCCUCCUCCUCACACCACGACGGCAUCUACACGUGGACUUGGAUCAUAACUCAAAAAAAUCUUUGGCGUUGGCGUGUGGCAGUCUUGAUGCCUCCUAUCCAUUAAACGUGCCCGCAUAGUCGCGCUAUCAAGCCUCGGGGUGCGUUUGGAUCGAAACGAAAACGCACCAUACCAAUAUUUUUUUGGCUCGCCCAUAAGAUUUGGCGGUCGUUUGGACUGUUGUCAGAAAAUUAGCGCGCCAACCACAUCUGGCGUUCGUCUGUGUAGAUCUGACCAAUGCGUUGGCGAGCGGAGGGCGCGGAAAAGGUCCGAUUGGCGGCGUGAGUUGCCCCUAUGUCUCGGUGAGUCCCAGGUAAGUUUCCACUUUUUUAGUACUCCCUCCGUUCCUAAAUAUUUGUCUUUUUAGACAUUUCAAAUGGAAUACAACAUACGAAUGUAUGUAGACAUAUUUUAGAGUGUAGAUUCAUUCAUUUUGCUUCGUAUGUAGUCACUUGUUGAAAUCUUUAGAAAGACAAAUAUUUAGAAACGGAGGGAGUACUAAUAUGAUGCAUGCAGGGAAGGUUGCAGAUUCUUUUGACAAUAGUUAAUUGAUGAGCCCUCACAUAACACUACUAGUUUACCAAAUUAAAAUUCGGCCAUGCCCUUGCAUUGGUCAUACCAAAUUUUUGAUGUGGCAAGUUGGGGCUUAAACCCUCAGUAUUCGAGGGCAGGGUCGACGCUCCUCGCUUCGGAGAUUCAGGUGCCGGUUCGUGUGGUGCAGCUACUCCUGUGCUCAUGCUUGACGGCGAGAUGGCCACAUCCGCUAGUGCAUGUCUAUGCAUUGUAUGAAGCAUUCUUAAUAUCUUGUCUCAUUUAGCCGUGCGGCUUUUUUUUUUUGGAGCAAAAGGGCACGCAGCCCCGGUUCCAUUGAUAAACAACGAAACCACAGUCACUUCGAAUACAGCCCUCGGAGCACAGCUCAUUACGCUGCCUCAGCAGAAUACUCAUCCUACCUUAACAGAACAUACCAAGUCUAAAUUGAGACAAAAAUGGAAGAAAACAUGGGUUUGCUUUUUUAGUGCUUUCCUCUACCGCCAGGGGAGAGAGCAGCAACAUCAUCUUUUUUCAGUUCAUGCCCCAUGCGCAUCUUGAAAGGAUCAAUUUAGACUUUCAGGCUAUCUCUAUCCGUAAACAGAACUUCAGAACUGAUACGUUCUCAUGGAUGUCAGCUUACACGACAAUCUCUCUUCUGCUCAAGUUCAGCCACCGCUAAUAAUGCCUUCAAUAGUGCUACAGUUUCCUUGCCUAAUUCUACCAAUGCCUUGAUUGAUCCUUCUUCAAUCACACUAGUCUUUUCCAGCGUGUGUUUUUCUUCUCCACCUGCAUUUGGUCCAUCAGGCCGGGUUGCCUCUGCUUGUUCAUAUGGAGGAGACACCCCUUGGAGCAGCUCGUACUCGACAUAACCCUCGCCCGUUUCCGAACUCGGCAACCAUCUCGCUAACCACAUGAAAAUAAAUGAAAUCAUCGAAGUAUCAAGCCACUGAACAAUCACCACAAGAACGCAUAAUACUAGUGUUGGCUUCCCGUCAGUAUUUUUUUUUUUGACUGACUGAAUAUUCCCGUCAGAAUUUACUAGAUACAACACUAAGUAUUGCUACCAAUUCCAAAAAACAUGAGUUCUGAAGCAUCCAGUAAUAUUUCUCAAACUUUGACCACCACAACUUUUAAGUUGUGUAAAUGUGUUAGAUAGAAGUUGUACCAUUUAAUCAUUGUAAUUUUUUAAACUACAUACAUUUAUAUGCAAACAUGAAUUUCAGAAGUUCAUCAUUGAAUAUUUUGCAAAAUAUAUAAAUCAACCAUUUUAAAACAGAAAAGAUACUGCUUAAUUAGAUGACAGUUUGAUUUUCUAUCAGUCCGCAGUACGGAUUUACAAGACCCACCAAUGGCAAUAGUCAAGCUCAAGUAUUACCAAUGAGUAGUUAAUCAGAGGUAUACAAUCAUGGAACAAGAUUGAACUAAUACCUCGUUUUUGCCAUCCAGCUUUAAUCAACAAAACAAUUUGCAAGAUACUAGUCGCAUUAUAUAAAAAAAUAAAAGAGCAGGAGUAAACAAUGCUAACGAUAAGUUUGGCAUGACUUUGGGUUUUGCACUAUGUCCAUUUCAGAAUAUUAAGAAAUUGGCAAUUUGACAAACCUUGCCAGCUGCAUUUCCACUGACAAUACUUGGGUUAGAUGUCUGUGAAAUGGUCACCUCACUGCCUGAACCAACAAACAGUUUGUUAGUAAGGAUUCAAGCACAGUAAUAAAGACCAAUUAAUAAAAAAGGGAUAAAUUAGGUAAGCAACGCCGCAUUUUGAUCUGAUUUGUAAGAUCACAUACCAUAAGGCCGGCAGCUACAGCAGGAGAUUCAAGAUCUGAUUCAAUCAUAAAGCGUGCAUACUCCUUGAUCUGGCCGCUGAGUCUAUAAUCGUCAGGAGUGACUCCUUCUGCGGAAUUACGCAACUUCUCCAUCUCGAGACACUUGAUAUCAUUAUUUUGCAAAGAUGUAAAUAAAAGUUGAUCAGCAAAGGAAUCAACCAAUAACCGGAUUAUUUUACAAAGUCUAGCUUAUUUUGGUACAUGCAGGAGGAAACUUACCCUACUGGCAGAAGCGUGCAGGCUGAGAAUAGCAGGAGAAUUACGUUGGAAAAACUCACUGAGGUAAUCCCAGUAAUUUUCGGAGAGAACAUAACCGGAUUCCCAUACCAACAGCCUGUCCCAACUCCAUGCGGUUUCCAUAAUCUCUACUAUCUAAAAGAAACCUAACGUUCCGUCUCCCCUCUUACGUUUCGUCGAGCCCUCCCCGCAUGGCCGCACUCGCGAUUGGUUUUUUCACAUCCUUCCCCACGUAGGUUUUGCAUUGAAGACUUUCCUAAAACAACCACCUUGAUUGAUUCCCCUGACCUUAGGGGGUGUUUGGUUUAGAAGUCCUAGGACUUUUUCUAGUGCCAGGGACUAAUCAAAAAAGACUCUCUAGUAGAGUCUUUUUCUAGUCCCUGUAAAAAAAGUCUCUCCCGUUUGGUUUCUAGGGACUUUUUAGGGACUUUUUCUAGUCUGUGGGACUAAAAAGUCCCUGAACAAAACACCCCCUUAGUCCCACCUCUGAUUUGGCCGCCGCCAGACUCUCGCCCAUCUCGCGAACGGCUGGAGGAUGUACGCUCCCCGUCCAUGACCUCUCGCCAGAGACGCCCUAACGUCACCGUAGCGCAUGACACAGGGAUUCGCCGCUGCAGCCCGCAGCUACUUUGCCCCUGGUGUCGACGAGGGGGUCGGCGAGAGCUCAUCUCCUCCCGGGGCUGCCGCCGCCGGGGUCGUCUCGUCAGGAGGACACGAUGUCGAUGCCGUCGCCGGCGACGCCUCGUUGUUCUCCCUCUCCCCUCACGCUUCAUGCUUCCUGGAUUAUUGAGGUUAUAAUCGUGAGGGACUCCUGAUUUUUGAACAUAUGUGUUUCUUGUUGUGUUGCAGGCUCUGCAGCCUGCAGGUCGUUCAACUCGGGUGUGCUGCAGCCUGCGAGAUCCGAGGCGUGACGACAUUGGUGAUUCUGUUCACCGUGGCCCAAGUUUAAGCCAGAUCUGCGACUGAGGCAUGGCGCAAGAAACCUACGCCGCAGGAAGGCUACGGAGGUGCGUUGCCCCCGGAGACGUCUUGGCACCAUCUCCGAUGAGCCCCCUUCUGAUGGAGCCUAUGCCGUUCUAUAUCUGGUGUUGGCUCUCGCUUCAAUCAGAUCCGCGGGAGGCUACUGCUGCCGCUGUCAGUGGCGCAGCGGAUUUGCGGAUGGCCUACCUAGCCACCAUGCGCAUGGUCCAACCUCUCCUCCGAUGUAUGCCUCCGUACUAUCACGCCCACUACGGCAAGCAUGAUGUGUGCACGUCUUGGUUGUUGCGGCCGUCCGGCAUUCGUCCCUUCCCAGCUAUCGGCGUGGCGCAUUGGCAUAAGAGCGAUAAUAUUCAUGUCUGCUAAAACUGGGUCGUUGAAUUUCGUCAAUUAACUUGGGAAUAAGGCAAUACGGGCGUCAAGAAUGGACUUUAAAAGUAAUGGAGGCAGUACCAGUGUUUUCCUACGCCUGGCAGAUUUUGCUCCAAAGAAGAAAGGAGAAGUUCACCAAAGUUGACCUUCAGUACUAAAAGUACUAAUAAUAUUACCUGCAAGUGCAAGCAAGGAGAACCACGGGUGCUUUGGCAAAAGGAAAGCAACACGAUGCCAAAAGCUUGUAGAAUUACCAUUGCAUCACCCAUCUUCUGAAACAUACAUGUUCUCUGUAUCUUGCACUCCAUUCUGUUCCUGGGAAUUUCUUUUGUUUAAAGCAAGAAGAUGGAGUUAUCAGAUAUCUUUGCCUAUAAAUAUUCUUUUGUCUGCAAGUGUUCUGUGCUCCUCGACUUGAUUCCCCUGGCGCUUAUAGAGGUACUGCAGUUGCAUAUUCCGAUAUGNNNNNNNNNNNNNNNNNNNNNNNNNNNNNNNNNNNNNNNNNNNNNNNNNNNNNNNNNNNNNNNNNNNNNNNNNNNNNNNNNNNNNNNNNNNNNNNNNNNNNNNNNNNNNNNNNNNNNNNNNNNNNNNNNNNNNNNNNNNNNNNNNNNNNNNNNNNNNNNNNNNNNNNNNNNNNNNNNNNNNNNNNNNNNNNNNNNNNNNNNNNNNNNNNNNNNNNNNNNNNNNNNNNNNNNNNNNNNNNNNNNNNNNNNNNNNNNNNNNNNNNNNNNNNNNNNNNNNNNNNNNNNNNNNNNNNNNNNNNNNNNNNNNNNNNNNNNNNNNUAACCCUUACCCUGAUCAUAAACGUAACCUGGUCCACACCUUCCAAAUCGGGAGAUCCUGGCCUGUCGGAAAGCGAGCGUUGGCACGCGCGCACGCGCAAUAUUGGUUUGUGAAAAUCUUAGGUGAAAUUUUAUAUAUAAUGAGCAAAAAAAUCUAUGAUCUCAAACAUUCCAUUGGUACAACCCAUACAAAAUUGAUUUCUUCUGUCAAUAUGAAGCGCUAAUCUUCUCCUCUAUAUAGGCUUGAAGGAUAAAAUUAUGGCAAGUCUGGUUGGUGGAGGAGGAAAAUAAGAAUGAUUUAAUAGUAAGAAAAGGAAGAUAAUGUUGCUUGAGAUGUGCAUGGGGAUUGUGAAUAUAUAUGUUUGAUACUUUCUCCUCUUGACAGAGAUUGGUCGAGGUUUGUUUAGUCCUCAUAAUAUGUGAGGUUCCAUUAUUGUAUAUUUCACCCUAAGCCCCCGUUGCAAUGCACGGGCAAUUACCUAGUAAGCUCUUAAAAUACGGAAGAAAGAUUAGUCAGCUCAGAUCAAUUUUUUUUUUGGCAAGGGGGGCUCAAAUCAAAUUUGAUAAUAAUAGUAAUCAUAAGAAUGAGGAAGGAAACCGGAAAUGACGGCACGAGGAAUCAAACCUAUGACGUCCCUAUACUCAACAAGGGCUUCUAACCACCAGAGUGAAUGGUUGCAUCUGAACGAUCCCGCAUCGCGAUUGUAUUUAAGAACUCUCUAUUGCGGGAUAUACCCCUUGCAUGUUAUUUUCUGUACGUGUACUGCAGCACAUAGAUUUGAAUAUGUGAUUUUUUUUGGAAAAGCUGGAACAUGAUUUGAAAUAUCUGAACAUUUUCUGAAGUUGUGAACAAAAAUUGAAAACACAAAAUAUUUAUCGAAAUUACGAACAAUUUUUUCAAAACACAAACAUUUUUUGGAAUUACAAACAAUUUGUUCAAAACACAUUUUCUUCAAAAGUUCAAAAAAAUAAAUAUUUUAGGAAUAUGUGAACAAAAUUGGACAAGCUGGAACAUUUUUUGAAAUUAGAGAACAAUUUUCGAAUUUAUGAUUUUUUUUAGAAAUGAGAACAUUUAUUCAAAUUCCUCGAACAUAUUUGACUUUGUGAACUAAGUUUCAAAAACACUAAUUUUUCAAAAUUUUGAACAUAUUUUGAAAGUGAGAACUUUCUUGGAAUUCCCUAUGAUUUUUUGAAUUUGUGAAUAAACAGAUAAAAUGCAUAUUUUUUUUGAAAUUCUGAACAUUUUCUGGAAAGUUGUGAAAAGUUCUGAAAAGAUACCAUAAGCCGCUGAAGAUUAGAUCUUUUUCUAAAAUUUUGAAACUGAUUUUUUUAAACGCGAACAUUAUUUGGGAAACUCAUUAUUUUUAUGGAAAAAAGGAAGAAAAUUGAAUAGGAGGAGAACAUUUUUCGAAAUUCUGAAUAAUUUUCUGAAAACGCAAACAUUUCUUGAGGAACAAUAUUUUUUCAAAAAAACAUGAACAUUUUUUAAAAUUACGAACGAUUUUACAAAAAUCCAAAACUCCUUUGAAAUUCCUGCGCACAUUUUUUGAAUUUGCGAAUUUUUCAACGUGACAUUUUUUUAAAGUUGAGAACAAAUUUCCCAAAUGGUAUUAUUUGCUGAAGUUGUGAACAAAUUUGGAUAAUAGGAACAUUAUUUAAUUGUCAAAAAAAUUGAAUUUGUGAACAAAAUAUAAAUAUACAAAUAUUUUUGAAUUUGUCAAAAAAAUUGAAUCAUGAACAUUCUUUAAUAUGCUAACAGAAUUUAAAAACAGGAACAAUUUUAUUGAAGUUCUUGAAUAUUUUUUAUUUUGUGAAUAAAAUUUAAAAUGCGAACCUUUUUGAAAUUCUAUUUUUUUUAUGAAUUUUAGGAAACAAUUCAAAUAGCGAACAAAAUUUGAAAUUUUAAACUUUUUAUAAUUCCGAACAUUUUUUCUAAUGAAGCGGACAAAACUUGAAAAUCUUGUUUUUUGGAAUUUCGGAAGAAAAUAUUUCUUGGAAUUUAAAAUAAUUAUGAAGUAGAAAAAAGAAAAAGUGUAAGAAAAUAAAAAUAAAAAGAAAAAACGACAAAGAAGACAAGUAGAAAAAUGAAAAAUGAAAAAGAAACUGCAAAAGAGGAAACCGGUUUCAGGAACCUACUAGAAGGUUCCCAAAACCGAAAAAAACCAGCUGGAAACAUCAUGGAAGGUUCCUAUCCUGAAGCGCUAAAUGGGCGGGCCCACCCCCGAAGGAUCCCUUGAGCGAAACAGUUACAACUUGUCGCAAAGAGCGGCAAAUAGGGUAUUCCGAAGAAGAGGGUGGUCCCCUGUAUUUGUUUGAAAAGAAACGUCGCCCAUAGCGCCACAAUUGGGUCGGCCCAGUAACCUGCGUUGUAGCUAGCCCAGAGCGGCCGCUCAUACUAAAUUCUCCUAUGCCCUAAAAAAACUAAAUUUUCCUAUAAAAGCAGAGCUUCAUCUCAAAAAAUAAAGUAAAAAGCAGAGCUCAAAUACCUUUUUCCCAAAGAAAUACUGCCCCUUUCACUAUUAUAAGAGUUUUGGCUACUUUAACAUAAAUUAUAUACAGACUAAAAUAAAUGAACAAACACACCAAUACGUGUCUACGUACAUCUUUUUUUUAAUAUUUUAUAAUAAUGAAUGGAGAGGGUAGCUCCUAAGUAUCGAGCUAGGCUCGAGUACAACUAUAGAGCACCGUUCCCUCCCUAAUAAAACCUGCACCUGCAUCGGAGUAAUCUUACUCCUAUAAUCUCAAAGAAAAAACCUGGUGAAUUUUUGUGCCAAAAGAGAUUGAAAGAAGCACCUGCUAAUUUUGCGCAUUAACCAAUAAAUCAAGCCAAGCACGCAAAUUUAACCUCGUUUGAAUCAUCUGGCUUAUUUGUAUACGUAUGUAUUUGUAUUCAUGUUCAUCUUUUACGUUCUUCUUACAUCUUAACAUACACUUAAACAUAAUAUAAUGCAAAUUCUAAUUGUAGACUGCACACUACUUACCGUGCAUGCUUAUCUCGUGCAUCCAAUCGAGAUCCUGCAGUCAUGAGUGUCUGUGAGCAUCUACAAUUGUACUUUGUUCAAAAGUAAUAAUAAUCUUGCAGUCAGAGGCUGAGCUAGCAUGUAGGUGUGGGUUCAGAUAUGAACCCAACAAAUUUUUCAUGCCACAUACAUACAUGUAUACACGUGGUCACAUGUUUUUUUGUAGAAUCACAUGUUGUCACAUGUAUGAAUCUGAAAUUACUAAUUAAGAAGUACCUUUUACAAAGAUCACUCCCACUUCUUCAGGUUGCCCAAGGGGCGCACUGCAUAUGCGCCACUUGUCGUAACCUGUUGUUGUUCAGUAGCAUCUUGUAUCCUUCUACCGCCUUCUUCUUCUUCUUCUUCUUCUUAUUCUUCUUCUUCUUCUUCUUUCGUGUUGUCUCGGUGGUUGUAUACUCGGCUGUUGCUUUAUCUAUAUCAAUAUAAAAAGAUUCAAAGGGGCAGAUCCAACUGAUUUCGGCCAUCAAACUAAGUCAAUCCAACGACCUAGACUGCUGCAAUGACGAGCAUUCAACGCGUUUAACAUGCAAUCAAUAUCAUACCAAAUAUUGCACUAAUCACAGAAUUAACACACAAAUAAUAGCAUACCUAAUAUCUGCGUGCAAUUGAUAUAUUGCCUAAAUAUUAACGUGCAUUGCACGUGCGCAUUUACUAGUAAUAUAAAGCGACGGAAUCUUUUAUCGUCAUUUAUUUAAAAUGUUUUACCUCUUAAACUGUGUGUCCAAAUCUUAAACCACUUUCGCCGUUGGAUUUCUCGCGUCGAGAUCUUCAAAAUUAGAUGCAAUGUUCAUAUGUUUCAACAAAUUCUUUUUUCAUUAAAAGGCGUACAAAAAAACUGGGAGCACAUUUUUUUCCCUUUCCAAAGAGGCACAAUCAUGACUCUCACAGAAGCAAAUUUGUGCCUCCAUGAGAAGCAAAUCAGUGCCUCUCGUGAAAGAAAAAACAUGUUUUUUUUUCUGAGAGGCACAUUUGUGCCUCUCGCGGAAGAAAAAUAUAAUUUUCUUUUCUUUUUCGAGAGGCAUGACUGUGCCUCCUGCAGAAGCAAAUCCGUGCCUGCACGAGAAGUAAAUAUGUGCCUCUCGCGAAAGGAAUUUUUUUCUUUUCUGAUAGGCACGACUGUACCUCUGAACAAAAUCUGAAAAUAGGAACAUUUUAUAAAAUUCCUGAACAUUUUUCGAAAACAUGAACAUAAGAAAAUAUUUGAAAAUGAGAACAUUUUUUUGAAUUGACUGAACAUUUUUCAAAAUUGUGAACAAAAUUUAAAACAAGAACAUUUUUUGAGAUUCUUGAAAGACUUUUUGAAUUACGGAUAUUUUUUCAAAUUGUGAACAAAAUUUAAAAACAGGAACAUUUUUUGAAAUUGAGAAUUUUUUUGAAAACAAGAACAUGUUAUAAAAUUCCGAAUAGAUAUUGGAUAUUCUCAAAAAAAAGAAAAUUACAAAAAAUGAAAGAGCGAAAAGAGACAAGAAAACAGAAAAAUAAAAUAAAAUUUUUAAACGAAAAAGAAAAAGAAAUCGAUAAAGAAAAGAAAUAAAAAGGGACAAAAAAGAAAAUAGAAAAAAUGGUUCAGGAACCUCCUAGAAGGUUCCCAAAACCAGAAAAAACCCGGCUGGGAACACCCUAGAAGAUUCGCAAAACCAGACUCGCACAAACAUUUGGAACGGCCCGGCCAACGAGAACGCUGGUCCAUCUCCCCCUGCGCGUCCGGUCGACUACUUGCAGCAACGAGCGGCAAAUAGGAAUUUCCAAGGGAGGCAGCACCAAUUUUACACUCUGUGGGUUAAAUAGCGCGUUGACGCAGAGCACUGAGGCUGGCCCGAUAUGAGGUAUGAGAUUGGAUGCUCCUCCAACGAGUUUUGUUUUUUUCUUUUGUUUUUCCAACCCUUUAAAAAUGACAGCAGGAUAUUUUAUAGAUGAAAAUAUGAUAAUAUAAAAAAUGUUCAUGAACUUCAAAUAUUCUCAAAUUUGAAAAAGUUCAUGUUCUAAAAAAAUUAAAAAUUGUUCUUGAACUAAAAUAUUAUUGUAAAAAGUAAAAAUGUUCUUGAAUAAAAAAUUCUCAAAUUUGAAAAGGUGUUCUCGAAUAGGAAAAAAUGUUCCCAAUUUUUAAAUGUUCUCAAAUACAAAAAAUGUGCUGAAAAAUUAAAAAAAUGCUCUCCAAUACAAAUAAAGUUCUUGAAUUUAAGAAAUAUUUUUGAGAUUUGAAAAAUGUUCUCAAAUUCAAAAACCAUGUAUUUUUAAAAGAAAACGCAAAUGAAAUAGGUGGACACUUUUAGAAAAGAGAGCAUCUUGAAAUUUUGGGAACAUUUUCAACGAAAAAACAAAAAAGAAAAAGGAGAAAAAAACAAAAAAACAUUGUAACAAAAAAAGAAUAAAAACCAAUAAAAGUAAAAUAAACCUUACAAGAGCGUUCUAAAAGGUUCCUAAAACUAGCAAACAUCAAUAUGGAACCUUCUCAAAACUGGUAACCCCAUGUGUGUGUACGCUAGUUAGUUGGAUCGCAGUUGUGUGCUUUGCUACCUUCGAUGGUCUGUGUGUUUCCUCGACACUUAGAUGCGGUGUGCGUCAAAUAUAAAACACCCCCGGAGAGAUACCUUGUGUUUGUAUGGUAGCAUCAUUCAAACAUAGAUACACUACUGCAGCAUAAUACAUUUUCAGGGUAUCUAUAAUUUUUGAUUGUUUCAUGUUGUUAUAUUAUUAUUCUUGGAUGUUUUACAUUCAUUUUAUAGUAACUUUAUAUCUUUUUUAGGACUAACCUAUUGAUAUAGUGCCCGGUGCUAGUUGCUGCUUUUUGCUUGUUUUUUACUUCGCAGAAUAUCAGUACCAAACAAAGUCCAAAUGCCACGAAACUUCUUAAAGAUUUUUUUGGACCAGAAGACAUCUUGGAAGCCAAGGAAGCACCAGAGGAGGGGCCCAUGGGGCCCACCACCUACUUGGGUGUGCCAGAGGCCCUUGGUGCGCCCUGAUGGGUGGUGGGGCCCAUGGAGGUCUUCUCCACCGCCUCUCAGCUCUAGAGAUACUCAGAUAUUCCAAAAACCCUAGGGGAGCGUUCGAAACACAAUUUCAGCCUCCGCAAGUUCCAGAACCACGAGAUCCAAUCUAGAGCCCUAUUCCGGCACUCUGUCGAAGGGGAACACGAUCACGGAGGGGUUCAUAAUCCUCAUUGGUGCUCCUCAGAUGAUGCGUGAGUAGUUCACCAUAGACUUACGGGUCCGUAGGCAGUAGCUAGAUGGCUUCUUCUCUCUUUUUGAUUCUCAAUACAAUGUUUUCCUCGAUGUUCUUGGAGUUCUAUUUGAUGUAAUAACUUUUUAUGGUGUGUUUGUUGGGAUCCGGUGAAGUGCGAGUUUAUGAUCACAUCCAUCCAUAAAUAUUAUUUGAGUGUUCUUUGAUCUCUUAUAUACAUGAUUGAUAUAGCCUCGUAUUUCUUCUCCGAAACUUUAGUUUGGUUUGGCCAACUAGAUUGAUUUUUCUUGCAAUGGAAAGAGGUGCUUUGUGAUGGGUUCGAUCUUGCGGUGUCCUCACCCAGUGACAGAAGGUGUAGCGAGGCACACAUGUAUCGUUGCUAUUAAGGAUAAAAAGAUGGGGUCUAUUUGUGACGCCCCAGAUUCAAUCGUACACUAAUCAUACACGCAAAUAUGCAUGAUCAAGAUCAGGGACUCACGAGAAGAUACCACAACACAACUCUAGACACAAAUUAAAGUCAUACAAGCUUUAUAUUACAAGCCAGGGGCCUCGAUGGAUCGAAUACAUAAGCUCGAAUGCAAACGAGUCAGCGGAAGCAACAAUAUCUGAGUACAGACAUGAGUUAAACAAGUUUGCCUUAAGAAGGCUAGCACAAAAGUAACGACGACCAAAAAGGCAAGGCCUCCUGCUUGGGAGCCUCCUAACUACUCCUGGUCGUCAGCGGUCUCCACGUAGUAGUAGGCACCCUCGGGGUAGUAGUAGUCGGCGGUGGUGGCAUCUGGCUCCUGGGCUCCACCAUCUAGUUGCGACGUCCGAGAAGAAUUGGUGCGGAGCAUCCUACGGGCAUCACCAUGUCAAGAGACCGUUUGGCAAGUGACACGUACGACCUCUACUUCUCAUACAUAAAGGUGAAUCUUCUUCUUUACACGUGUUCACUUGACCCCUUUGAGGAUGGUAUACUACUUGACACUCCACUCAUGUGCAUGCAUAGGUAUUGCCGGAGCUUCACGGACAACAAGGAGGAGUGCAAGCGCCAAGGAACAACUACACCAUCCGUGAGGGAAGCAUGGAAGAGAAGAUGGAGCUACAGAGCCUACAGCGGCUAGACGUCCGACAUGCCCCCGGACGUCCGACACUCUACAGCGGCCGGACGACCGGUAGGGACCGGACGUCCGACGCCUAGAAGCCCUAGCCAGCGCAAGCUACAGCUGGUGGAUGUCCAUCCCCGACCGGACGACCGAAGACCGAAGACCGGCCGUCUCCGGACGUCCGGUGUCACUUUUAUGGAACGAAAUUAGCGGAAGCCCGAGCCCUACCGGAUGUACAGACCCUCGCGAGCCACCGAACGACCGGUAAGGACCGGAUGUCUGCUGCCUGUGUGCGCAGCCGCGGGCCUUUGGCCUUGUAUCCCUAUCCCACUUACCCCUUGGUCGCUUAGACUAUAAAUAGACCACCUCCUCCUCCUAGAUAGGGUUAGCAAAGUGAUAGCUCAUUUGUAUGUGAGCUUUUCUCCUACCACUCCUCCUCUUGAGAGAGAGAGAGAGAGAGAGAGAGAGAGAGAGAGAGAGAGAGAGAGAGAGAGGGCACUACUCCAUUGGAGGCCAAGACCACCAUCUAGGAGAAGAUCCCGCGGGAUAUCAUCAAGACCCCCUCACGGGAGGACCCCCCAUCAAGACCUCCUCAUGGAGAUGAACUCUACCUUGUAUCUUUCCUUUUGUUGUUCAUGUACCUUGUGGAUCUUGUGUGUUUGAUUGUCUAGUGGAUGUGUGAUUGGACUUGUUCUUGAGUGUUUCCCCUUGUGAUUUCUCUCCGUUAUUCCCCGUGUUCAUCGUGUUCUUCGAGGGAUCCCACUCCAAUCAUGAAAGAUCAGCCUACAUUGGGUUAGCCCCGUAUCAAGAAUGGAAAAGGGGGGAAAAGAGGGAGCAAAGCAACCAUGAGUACUCAUCCAAAGUACUCACAAGCAAGGAUCUACACUACAUAUGCAUUGAUAUCAAUGAAAUGGGUGGUAUCUAUGUACUGAACUGCAGAAUACCAUAAGAGAAGGGGAAAGCCUAGUCUAUCAAGGACUAGCAUUUUCAAGCAUCUUACAACAUCAGAAGAGAUAAGAGUGGCAUAUUAUAAUAUUAGUAAGUAUGUUGUAACAUCGCCCAUGGAUCACUUCCUUGACUCCCUGCAAGAAAGCAAUCUCGGAGCCAUCAUUUCCAUUACAUGCCUCAACAUCCAGUUCUAGUUGUAUCGAUCGAGAUACAACUCUGAGCGUCCGUUACUGUGGACAUGGCUAUUCGAAUAGAUCAAUCUUCCCUGCAGGGGUGCACAAACUUACCCAACACGCUCGAUCAACUCCGGCCGGACACACCAUCAGGUCAUGACCGGCCUCGGCUGAUCAACACGUCGUAGUCCUACCUAGGUUCAACAGAAAGGUCACACGCCGGUCUACAUCCUAAAUGCAAAGGGGUCAUGGGCCAAUUGUCCUUUGCAAUCAUGCGCGUUGCAAGGGUGUACGGGAUCAGUCAUGGCUACCUCCAUAUAUAAGGCAGGUGCUUACGUAGACCACCCGGGUGCGUGCCGCUCAACCGUGGCAUCUAAAGAGCUUUCGGGAGAUACAAACGACGCGGAGUGCCCAUACUUAUUCCCGCAUGGUGGUUAGUGCGAAAAAGUCCAGAGGCCUACUCGGAUCAAAUAUCCAAAUCGUUAGUGUCUUGGGAGCGCGCGGUAACGACCAAUGAUCCAUGAUAUGUGGUACCAUCACCCCGUCUCACGGACUUGUGGCAAGGGCUAAGAAUGCUCGGCCGUGCCGCGUGGAAAACUCGCAGGUAUCCUCCAGAUCAACUCGACUUUAAAUCACUCGUUGGUACCCCUCGGGGCCGACCCGAUGUCAUCAUGGUCUUGUGGUAAGUCAAAGUAACCGUGUGUCCAAAAUAGCAAGGGGGAAACCCAAAGAAUCAUCCUCGAUGGACUCCCACUCGAUGUAACCAUCAAGGUGGACUUGGAGGAAUCACCCUCGAUGGUCCCCACUCGAGGGGUUGCACGACAGAGUCAUUAUCGAGAGUGGUGAAGGAGGAAUCACCCUCGAUGACCACGACCGAAUAACUACACUACAUGGUUAACAUCAAAAGUGCUGACGAGGUAUCACCCUCGGCACUCAAUAAUAAUUCUGCAGAGUCAUACAACUAAGGGGGGUGAUGUGCUGUGUCAGGGCCUGGACAUCGUUCACGUUAAUCGAGUCAUCAAACAUAAAGCGGGGCAACUGGGACAAGGUGGGGGGGUCACUGAUGGAUCUCUAACCAACCUAUACUAAGCAGUUUAGAAUAAGCAGGUAAGGUAUGAAAGCAGGUAACAAAAACAGGCUAUGCAUCAGAGUAGGAUCAUACAAAAAGCGGUAGCAAUUCUAAUGCAAACAUAAGAUAGAAGGUAAUGAGUGAUAUCGGAAUGAUCAAUGGGGGGUUUGCUUGCGUGGAAGCUCUGCUGCAAAGGAACGGUCAUCGACGACGUAGUCAAUCACCGGGGCGGCAUUGGUCUCGUGGUCUACCAGAGAGAAGAGGGGGAAGAAACAGUAAAUACAGAGCAAACAGAUGCAUCACUAAGCAUGACAUGACACUACAAGAAAAAGACACAUCCAUGAAAUUUUGGGUCGAAUGAAUUUUUUUCCUGUCAUGCUAAUGACACUUUUAUGACGAUAAUUGUGACAAACCCAAGUAUCGUCAUAGAUGUGGUGGGCUCCUACUUCUAUGAUAGAAAAUGGGCUUUUCAUCCUGGGCGGUCUGGAGACGCAGCUCCAUGACAUUCUUUGGGCCGUCCAUGACGGAAAAAAUCGUGGUAUAAGCGAGGGCGAGGAAAAUAUCGAGGAGUUCCCGGUUACGGUGGGUGGUCGGGGGCAAGCGAUGCAUGGAGGGAUUGCACGUUUCUCUCGUACACGUACGCGCAUGGGUGCGAGGCAUUGGGCUCUAACUGAACCCGAGCGAGGCGCUCGCCUACUGAACCCGAGGAUUGCACUGGCUACACAUUACUAAACCCGAGCGAUUGAUCGAUCCAUGGCUGUGAACUGAACCCGAUCGAGCGGUUCCUUCGCUACUGCUGCUAACUGAAGCCGAUCGAACCUGCUGCCUUGAUACGUCUCCAACGUGUCUAUAAUUUUGAUUGUUCCAUGCUAUUAUAUUAUCUGAUUUGGAUGUUUUAUAUGCAUUAUUAUGCUAUUUUAUAUUAUUUUUGGGACUAACCUAUUAACCUAGAGCCGAGAAAAUGAAUAUCAAACGAGUCCAAAUGGAAUAAAACUUCUGCGAUGAUCUUUCUUGAACCAGAAGCAAACCAAGAGACUUGGAGAUGAAGUCGGAGGAGCAACGAGGCGACCACAAGGGUGGAGAGCGCACCUAGGGGAUAGGGCGUGCCCCCUAUAUUGUGGGCCCCUCGUGAGUCUCCUGACCUAAUUCUUUCGCCUAUAUAUUAUCUUAUACCCCAAAACCAUCAGGGGCAUCCACGAAAACACUUUUCCACCGCCGCAACCUUCUGUACCCGUGAGAUCCCAUCUAGGGGCCUUUUCCAGCAUCCUGCCGGAGGGGAAUUUGAUCAUGGAGGGCUUCUACAUCAACACCAUUGCCCUUCUGAUGAAGCGUGAGUAGUUUACGUCAUACCUACGGGUCCAUAGCUAGUAGCUAGAUGGCUUCUUCUCUCUCUUUGAUUCUCAGUACCAUGUUCUCCUUGAUGUUCUUGGAGAUCUAUUUGAUGUAAUACUCUUUUGUGGUGUGUUUGCCGAGAUCCGAUGAAUUAAGAAUUUAUGAUCAGAUUAUCUAUGAAUAUUAUUUGAAUCUUUUCUGAAUUCUUUUAUGCAUGAUUUGAUGUAUUUUCAAGUCUCUUCGAAUUAUCAGUUUGGUUUGGACAACUAGAUUGGUUUUUCUUGCAAUGGGAGAAGUGCUUAGUAUUGGGUUCAAUCUUGCGGUGUCCUUUCCCAGUGACAGUAGGGGCAGCAAGGCACAUAUUGCAUUGUUGCCAUCAAGGAUAAAAAGAUGGGGUUUUCAUCAUAUUGCCGAGUUAAUUCCUCUACAUCAUGUCAUCUUACUUAAUGCGUUACUCCGUUCUUUAUGAACUUAAUACUCUAGAUGCAUGCUGGAUAGCGGUCUAUGUGUGGAGUAAUAGUAGUAUGUGCAGGUAGGAGUCGGUCUACUUGACACGGACGUGAUGCCUAUAUUCAUGAUUAUUGCCUUAGAUAUCGUCAUAACUUUGUGCUUUUUUAUCAACUGCUCAGCAGUAAUUUGUUCACCCACUGUAUUAUUUUCUAUCUUGAGAGAAGCCUCUAGUGAAACCUAUGCCCCUGGGUCUCUUGUCCAUCAUAUAAGUUCUCUUUUCCAUCAUACAAGUUUCCGAUCUACUAAUCUUGCAAUCUUUUACUUUCCAUCUAUAAAUCAAAAAUACCAAAAAUAUUUACUUUAUCCUUUAUCUAUCUCUAUCAGAUCUCACUUUUGCAAGUAACCGUGAAGGGAUUGAUAACCCCUGUAUCACGUUGGGUGUAAGUUUGUUUGAUUGUUUGUGCAGGUAUUCGGUGAUCUGUGCGUUGUCUCCUACUGGAUUGAUACCUUUGUUCUCAAACUGAGGGAAAUACUUAUCUCUACUUUACUGCAUCACCCUUUCCUCUUCAAGGGAAAAACCAAUGCAAGCUCAAGAAGUAGCAGGAAGAAUUUCUGGCGCAGUUUCCGGGGAGAUCUACGCCAAGUCAAGACAUACCAAGUAUCCAUCAUAAAUUCUCAUCUCUUGCAUUACAUUAUUCUCCAUUCGCCUCUUGUUUUCCUCUCCCCCACUUCUAAAACGAUUUUCGAAAAGAUUUGCCUUUUCUUCGCCCCUCUUUCGUUCGUCUCUCUCGCUUGCUUUUUUUGUGCUCAUGUGUUGGAUUGCUUGCUUUGUCAUGAUGGCUCAAGAGAAUACCAAAUUGUGUGACUUUUCCAACACCAACAACAAUGAUUUUAUUAGUACUCCGAUUGCUCCCGCUACUAAUGCGGAAUCUUGUGAAAUUAAUGCCACUUUGCUGAAUCUUGUUAUGAAAGAUCAAUUUUGUGGCCUUCCUAGUGAAGAUGCCGCAUCCCAUCUAAACAAUUUAAUUUAUUUGUGUGAUAUGCAAAAGAAAAAAGAUGUGGACAAUGAUAUUGUUAAAUUGAAGCUAUUUUCGUUUUCGCUUAGAGAUCGUGCUAAAACUUGGUUUUCAUCUUUGCCUAAAAAUAGUAUUGAUUCGUGGAACAAGUGUAAAGAUGCUUUCAUCUCUAAGAAUUUUCCUCCCACUAAGAUCAUCUCCUUUAGGAACGAUAUUAUGAAUUUUAAGCAACUUGAUCAUAAACAAGUUGCAUAAUCUUGGGAGAGGAUGAAAUAGAUGAUACGAAAUUUCCCUACACAUGGUUUGAAUUUGUGGAUGAUUAUACAUUUUUUUAUGCCGGAUUGAAUUUUGCUUCUAGAUAUCUUUUAGAUUCGGCCAUGGGAGGCACUUUUAUGGAAAUCAGUUUAGGAGAGGCUACUAAACUCCUAGAUAAUAUUAUGUUUAAUUAUUCUCAAUGGCACAUCGAAAGAUCUUCCACUAGUAAAAAAAGUGCAUGCAAUUGAAGAAAUUAAUGUUUCGAGUGGAAAGAUGGAUGAACUUAUGAAAUUAUUUGCUACUAAGAGUGCUUCUAUUGAUCCUAAUGAUAUAACUUUGUCCACUUUGAUUGAGAAUAACAAUGAAUCUAUGGAUGUCAAUUUUGUUGGUAGGAACAAUUUUGGUAAUAACGCAUAUAGAGGUAAUUUUAAUCCUAGGCCGUUUCCUAGUAAUUCCUCUAAUAAUUAUGGUAAUUUCUACAGCAAUUCUUAUGGAAAUUUUAAUAAGAUGCCCUCUUAUUUUGAGAUUAGUGUUAAAUAAUUUAUGAGUUCGCAAAAGAAUUUCAAUGCUUUGAAUGAAGAAAAAUUUCUCAAGAUCGAUGAUUUGGCUAGGAACAUGGAUAGAAUUUCUCUUGAUGUUUAUUCUUUGAAACUUAGAUCUAUUCCACCCAAGCGUGAUAUUAAUGCAUCUCUCAAAUCCAUGAGAAUUUCCAUUGAUGAGUGCAAAGAAAGAACUGUUAAGAUGCGUGCUUAACGAGAUUUGUUUGAAAAAGCGUGUUCUUCUAGUUUUCGUGAAAAUAAUGAUGAAGAUCUUAAAGUGAAUGAUGUGACUCCUAUUGAAUCUUUGUUUUCCAAUAUAAAUCUUGAUAAAUAUGGUACUGGAGAUGAGUAAACUUUAGUUAAAAGGCGUCCCAAUGAUUCAGAGUUUUAGAUCUAGAUGCAAAAAUUGAUAAAAGUGGGAUUGGAGAGGUCAAGACUUUAAGUAGCAAUGAACCCACUCUUUUGGAUUUCAAGGAAUUUAAUUAUGAUAAUUGUUCGUAUUUCCUGGUUGCAAUCCAUGUUGAAUUCUCCUCAUGCUUACAAUCAAAACAAAGCUUUUACUAAACAUAUCAUUGAUGCUAUGAUGCAAUCUUUUGAAGAAAAGCUUGAAUCGGAAGUUUCUAUCCCUAGAAAACUUUAUCAUGAGUGGGAACCUACUAUUAAGAUUAAGAUUAAAGAUUAUGAGUGCCAUGCUUUGUGUGAUUUGGGUGCUAUCAUUUCCACAAUUCAAAAAACUUUAUGUGAUGUGUUAGGUUUCCGUGAAUUUGAUGACUGUUCUUUAAAUUUGCAUCUUGCGGAUUCCACUAUUAAGAAACCUAUGGGAAGAAUUAAUGAUGUUCUUAUUGUUGCAAAUAGGAAUUAUGUGACCGUAGAUUUCAUUGUUCUUGAUAUAGAUUGCAAUCCUACAUGUCCUAUUAUUCUUGGUAGACCUUUCCUUAUAAUGAUUGGUGCAAUUAUUGAUAUGAAAGAAGGAAACAUUAGAUUUCAAUUUCCGUUAAGGAAGGGCAUGGGACACUUUCCUAGAAAGUGAAUUAAAUUGCCAUAUUGAGAGCUACUUAUGGAUUGCAUACCAAAGAUGACAAUACCUAGAUCUAUUCAUGUUUUUAUGCCUAGCUAAGGGUGUUAAACAAUAGCGCUUGUUGGGAGGCAACCCAAAUUUUUUUGUUCUUUGAUUUUUGUUCAUGUUUUGCUUUGAAUAAUUAAUCUAGCCUCUGGUUAGAUAUGGUUUUGUGUUUUAGUUAGUGUUUGUGCCAAGUAAGACCUUUAGGAUAGCUUACAGUGAUAGUUGUUUUGAUCCUGCUGAAAAAUAGAAACUUUUGCGCCCAGUAAAUAAUUUCCUGGAUUUUAUUGAAACGUGCUUUUGAUAUGAUUCUUUUUGCUCUGGAUUUGUGUACAUAUUUUCUAGAUUGUCCUAAUUGUUUAGAUUUUUUGGAGUUACAGAAGUAUUCAAGAGUUAUAGAUUGCUACAGAUUGUUCUGUUUUUGACAGAUUCUGUUUUAUUUGUGUUGUUUGCUUAUUUUGAUGAAUCUAUGGGUAGUAUCGGGGGGUAUGAACCAUGGAAAAUUUGAAAUAUAGUAGAUAUUACACCAAUAUAAAUAAAGAAUGAGUUUGCAAUAGUACCAUAAAGUGGCAAUUUAUUUUCUUAUACUAACGGAGCUUAUGAGAUUUUCUGUUGAGUUUUGUGUUGUGAAGUUUUCAAGUUUUGGGUAAGGUUUUGAUGGACUAUAGAAUAAGGAGCAGCAAGAGCCUAAGCUUGGGGAUGCCCAAGGCACCCCAAAGUAAUAUUCAAGGACAACCAAGAGCCUAAGCUUGGCGAUGCCCCGGAAGGCAUCCCCUCUUUUGUCUUCGUCUAUCGGUAACUUUACUUGAGGCUAUAUUUUUAUUCACCACAUGAUAUGUGUUUUGCUUGGAGUGUCUUGUAUGGUUUGAGUCUUUGCUUUUUAGUUUGCCACAACCAUCCUUGCUGUACACACCUUUUGGGAGAGACACGCAUGAAUCGUGAUUUAUUAGAAUACUCUAUGUGCUUCACUUAUAUCUUUUGAGCUAGGCAAUGUUGCUCUAUGUGCUUCACUUAUAUCUUUUUAGAGCACGACGGUGGUUUUAUUUUAUAGAAAUUGAUGAACUCUCAUGCUUCACUUAUAUUAUUUUGGGAUUAUCUAAACAUCAUGGUAAUUUGCUUUGGUUAUAAAUUUAGUCCUGAUAUGAUAGCCAUCCAAGAGGGAUAUAAUAAAAACUUUCAUAUAAAGUGCAUUGAAUACUAUGAGAAGUUUGAUUCCUUAUGAUUGUUUUGAGAUAUGAAGAUGGUGAUAUUAGAGUCAUGCUAGUGAGUAGUUGUGAAUUUAAUAAAUACCUGUGUUGAGGUUUGUGAUUCACAUAGCAUGCACGUAUGGUGAACCGUUAUGUGAUGAAGUCGGAGCAUGAUUUAUUUUUUGAUUGUCAUCCUUUGUAUGGAGGUCGGUAUCGCGUGGUGGUUAACUCUCACCAACCCUUCCCCUAGGAGCAUGCGCGUAGUGCUUGGUUUUGAUGACUAAUAGAUUUUUGCAAUAAGUAUGUGAGUUCUUUAUGACUACUGUUGAGUCCAUGGAUUAUACACACUCUUACCCUUCCACCAUUGCUAGCCUCUCUUGUGCCGCGCAACUCUCGCCAAUACUAUACACCCACCAUAUACCUUCCUCAAAACAGUCACCAUACCUACCUAUUAUGGCAUUUGCAUAGCCAUUCCGAGAUAUAUUGCCAUGCAACUUUUCACCAUUCUGUUUAUUAUGACACGCUUCAUCAUUGUCAUAUUGCUUUGCAUGAUCAUGUAGUUGACAUCAUAUUUGUGGCAAAGCCACCUUCCAUAAUUAUUUCAUACAUGCCACUCUUGAUUCAUUGCACAUCCUGGUACACCGCCGAAGGCAUUCAUACAAAGUCAUAUUUUGUUCUAAGUAUCGAGUUGUAAUUCUUGAGUUGUAAGUAAAUAAAAGUGUGAUGAUCUUCAUUAUUAGAGAAUUGUCCCACUGAGAAAAGGAUGAUGGAGACUAUGAUUCCCCCACAAGUCGGGAUGAGACUCCGGACAAAAAAGAAAAAAAGAAAAAAAAGAGGCCAAAAAAAGAGAGAAAGGCCCAAGUAAAAAAUGAGAGAAAAAGAGAGAAGGGGAAAUGUUACUAUCCUUUUUCCACACUUGUGCUUCAAAGUAGCACUAUGAUCUUCAUGAUAGAGAGUCUCCUAUGAUAUCACUUUCAUAUACUAGUGGGAAUUUUUCAUUAUAGAACUUGGCUUGUAUAUUCCAAUGUUGGGCUUCCUCAAAUUGCCCUAGGUCUUCAUGAGCAAGCGAGUUGGAUGCACACCCACUUAGUUUUAUUUUUGAGCUUUCAUAAACUUAUAGCUCUAGUGCAUCCGUUGCAUGGAAAUCCCUACUCACUCACAUUUAUAUCUAUUGAUGGGCAUAUCCAUAGCCCGUUGAUACGCCUAGUUGAUGUGAGACUAUCUUCCUCUUUUUGUCUUCUCCACAACCACUAUAUUUUGUGUGAUGAAGAUGGAGCGUAGCCAGACUAUAUGAUUUUGCAUGAUUUGAAUAUUUUGUGUGAUGAAGAUGGAGCGUCGCCAGACUAUAUGAUUUUGUAGGGAUAAGCUUUCUUUGGCCAUGUUAUUUUGAGAAGACAUGAUUGCUUUAUUAGUAUGCUUGAAGUAUUAUCAUUUUUAUGUCAAUAUUAAACUUUUGUUUUGAAUCUUACGGAUCUAAACAUUCAUGCCACAAUAAAGAAAAUUAAAUGGAUAAAUAUGUUAGGUAGCAUUCCACAUCAAAAAUUCUAUUUUUAUCAUUUACCUACUCGAGGACGAGCAGGAAUUAAGCUUGGGGAUGCUUGAUACGUAUCCAACGUAUCUAUAAUUUUUUAUUGUUUCAUGCUAUUAUAUUAUCUAUUUUGGAUGUUUUAUAUGCAUUAUUAUGCUAUUUUAUAUUAUUUUUUGGACUAACCUAUUAACCUAGAGCCUAGUGCCAGUUCCUAUUCCCCCCCCCCUUUUUUAGAGUUUCGUAGAAAAGGAAUACCAAACGGAGUCCAAACGGAAUAAAACUUUCGCGAUGAUCUUUCUUGGACCAGAACCAAACCAGGACACUUGGAGAUGAAGUCAGAGGAGCAACGAGGCAGCCACAAAGGUGGAGGGCGCGCCCCUGUCUAGUUGGCCCCUCAUGGGGCUCCUAACCUAAUUCUUUCACCUAUAUAUUCUCUUAUACCCCAAAACCAUUGGGGGCAUCCACGAAAACACUUUUCCACCGCCGCAACCUUCUGUACCCAUGAGAUCCCAUCUAGGGGCCUUUUUCGCCGUCCUGCUGGAGGGGGAUUCGAUCACGGAGGGCUUCUACAUCAACACCAUUGCCCUUCUGAUGAAGCGUGAGUAGUUUACCUCAGACCUACGGGUCCAUAGCUAGUAGCUAGAUGGCUUCUUCUCUCUCUUUGAUUCUCAAUACCAUGUUCUCCUUGAUGUUCUUGGAGAUCUAUUUGAUGUAAUACUCUUUUGCGGCGUGUUUGCCGAGAUCCGAUGAAUUGUGGAUUUAUGAUAAAAUUAUCUAUGAAUAUUAUUUGAAUCUUCUCUGAAUUGUUUUAUGCAUGAUUUGAUGUCUUUGCAAGUCUCUUUGAAUUAUUGGUUUGGUUUGGCCAACUAGAUUGGUUUUUCUUGCAAUGGGAGAAGUGCUUAGCUUUGGGUUCAAUCUUGCGGUGUCCUUUCCCAGUGACAGUAGGGGCAGCAAGGCACAUAUUGCAUUGUUGCCAUCAAGGAUAAAAAGAUGGGGUUUUCAUCAUAUUGCUGAGUUAAUUCCUCUACAUCAUGUCAUCUUACUUACUGCGUUACUCCAUUCUUUAUGAACUUAAUACUCUAGAUGCAUGCUGGAUAGCGGUCGAUGUGUGGAGUAAUAGUAGUAGGUGCAGGCAGGAGUCGGUCUACUUGACACGGACGUGAUGCCUAUAUUCAUGAUCAUUGCCUUAGAUAUCGUUAUAACUUUGCGCUUUUCUAUCAAAUGCUCUGCAGUAAUUUGUUCACCCACUAUAUUAUUUUCUAUCUUGAGAGAAGCCUCUAGUGAAACCUAUGGCCCCCGGGUCUCUUUUUCAUCAUAUAAGUUCUCUUUUCCAUCAUCCAAGUUUCCGAUCUACUAUUCUUGCAAUCUUUUACUUUCCGAUCUAUAAAUCAAAAAUACCAAAAAUAUUUACUUUAUCAUUUAUCUAUCUCUAUCAUAUCUCACUUUUUGCAAGUAACCGUGAAGGGAUUGAGAACCCCUUUAUCGCGUUGGGUGCAAGUUUGUUUGAUUGUUUGUGCAGGUAUUCGGUGAUUUGUGCGUUGUCUCCUACUGGAUUGAUACCUUGGUUCUCAAACUGAGGGAAAUUACUUAUCUCUACUUUGUUGCAUCACCCUUUCCUCUUCAAGGGAAAAACUAAGAUGGUGGAUGACGAGAAGGCCUAGGAAGGGGAUGACGCGGAGCCGGGGAAGACGCAACAGUGGAUGCCCAUGCAGAGAGGAGUACAAGGGUUGACUAGUUCGGUUAUGGUGUGAGGCUACCAUCGUCGCAGAAUAACAGGGGUUGUAGGUGAGUAGAGGAUGGCCUGGCCAAAGGUUGGAGUAUGGUGGGGUGGUCAGGCCUGCGCGGUAGCAGAGUUGGCCAUGGGAGGCAGGAGCAGGCGACACGACCGGUGCUAGUUUGGGCGACUAGAGCAAGAAGACUAGAGGUUGAAGAAGCACUACUGUCGUUGGAUGGAUAUUGUACGGUCACUGGAGCUAGAAUCGUUCAUAUUGACUAAGUUGACAAAGCCCUCCGUCCGCGUCAACUUAGUAGGCCCACAAGUCAGCCUCCCACUAUGGUGGGUCUGAACUAGGAGGGGAGUAUUCUUUUUUUGUGUAAUAAGGAGGCACUUCCUUGUGUGCGAAGAUAUAACUAGUGGGUCUGAGGUGUCAGCGUGGGGAACAACUUUUGGUGAAAUACAGAGGCCCUUCCGGCGGGUCCCAGCUGUCAGGUGGAGGAACCAUUAUUUUGCGCGUAAUAAGGAGUCAUUUCCUUGCGUGCGGUCGUGGAACCAGCUGUCAGCCUCUCCACGUAUAGUCCACUUCCGAUGAAUGUCGUUCAUUGACCAUGUUAACCACGCCGCGACGAGAGCACCAGGGCGGUGGAUGAUGGCGAUGCCUAGGAAGGGAAUGACACGGAGCUAGGGAAGACUUGGCAGUUGCUUCCCACGCGGAGGAGGGUACGAGGGUUUACUGGUUCGUAUGCCGUCGCUGGAGAAUAACAGUGGGUGCGGAUGAGUAGAGGGAUGGCUAGGCCAACGAUGGGAGUACGAUGGGGUGGUGAGGCCUGUGCGGUAGCACAGUCGGCCGCAGGAGGAGGGAGCAGGCAGUCCCGUCGGCGCUUGUUUGAGCUGCUGGAGCAGGAAGAGCAGAGAUUGAAGAAGCACGAAGGUCGUUACAUGGACAUCCAACAAUCACUGCUCUCGUGUGUUGAUUAAGUUGACACGACGUUGCAUGUGCGUCAACCUUUUUUUAGGAAAGUGUACGCGUCAACCUAUAGUAGGCGCACAAGUCAGCCUCAAAUAUGUGGAAAACAACAUACAUCCCAUCUGCCAUUAUUUCUAAUAAUUUAUAGCCCAUUUGCUAAUUCUUAUGGAUUUUGUUGGAGCCCGUCUUCUUUCUGUUAGCAUUACAGCCCAUAUUGUGGCCACGGUUAAAAAAUAUUUGAAAUUUUGCAUAUUUCGGUGCGGUCAACUGUUUUUAAUCCUGAAAUUUUGAGUCACAUUCAAACUAAUUUGAAAAAUAAAUUUAUAUAAAUAUAAAUCCAAAUAAUUGUCCGUGCAUAAAAAUCAAUGGACUUUAAAAUCUUGAAAUGAAAAAAAAUAAAAACUAAUUCCCGAUUUGAUGCGUUUUAAAAAUGUACAACCCAUUUCUCAUUACUGAUAGCCCAUUUUCUGGGCAAGCCGAAUGAAAUUCUCCUCGUCUUCGAAGAUUUGCAGCCUAGCAGGGCUGACAAAGAAAGUAGGCCUCGGUUGGUUGCUUCUUUAAAAAAAAUAGAACCGAGCUAGCCAUUUUUAGCAAUAAAAAACACAACUUGGCUCAUGAUGUGGUAAACAUAAAUAAAACCCUGGCUAGACGGGCCACAACCCUGUACAGCCCCAUUGUUACCCUGAUCUGUCUCUAAAACUAGUAUAAAUAACAACUGCUUGUUCCUAAAAAAAGUAAAUAACAACUGCAUGACCUGCUGGGUCCCUGGUGUCAGCCGCUUGUUGGGUAAUUCUCUCAUUUAUUGACUAUGUUGACAAUGGCAUGGGCCCCAGAUGUCCAACCCUUAGGAGGAACCAUUUUUUGGGCUUGUAAUAAUGAGGCACUUGCUUGCGUACUGCCAUGACCCUGGUGGGUCCCUACUGUCAUCCUCUCCACGUACGAUCAUCUCCUUGUUCCUCUCAGUUGUUGACGAUGUUGACAACGCAAGAGGGCGGCGCACCAUGCAUGGCAAGCAAACCAAGGCGGAGGACAACAGCGAGGCCUCGAACAGAACAAAUAUGAGUCAUGGAAGAUGCGCCGGUCUAGUCGCGGGCGGAGGAGAGUAUGAGGGUUGACCGAUUCGGGUGCGGGUGCGUGUUGGGGCUGACGUCCUCAGAGAAUAACAGGACGUGUGGGGGAAUAGAGGGAGAGACUGGCCAACAUUGGAGGGUACAGUAGGGCGGCAUAGGCACAACCAGCCGUGGGAGGCGGGAGCAGGGGGAACCGACAGGGUGGUUUGGUUCGGGCAGCUGGAGGAAGAAGACAAGAUAUAGAAGAUACACGACAGAUGUUGGAUGUCAAUCCAACGACUGGUAGGCAGAAUCGUUUGUUGACUAGCUAGUAAGUCGACACCACCUUGGAUAGGAUUUUUCCUCAUGGGUCCCAAAUGUUAGAAUCCAAAUCGGUCACGGUCAUGCAGCCUUUCUUAUGAAAAUUUAUAGUCCAUUUGGUGUGCUAGUUCAAAAUAAGUUUGUGGGUGCUAGUGGGGGCUAAUCACUUGGGUUCUGUAAUGCAUAGUGAGCUCAAGCAGCCGGCGAGAGUGAUGUUAUUUCCCUUGGUUGGGAUUUGUUACAAUAUUUCACUCUUAAUUAAACGAAUGGCAAGCCAUUUGCCUUGUUUCAAAGAAAAUAUGAUAGUCACAGCCGAGUUGAAAAGGGCAACAACAUCUAACUCCAUCUUACAAACUGUACAAAAGCACGAGGGUUAAUUGUUCAUCAGGUUUAGAUAAAACCAUGAUUGAAAAGGGCAACAACAUCUAACUCCAGCACUGUUUUCGGCAGUCAUAGUCAAAUGGAUCAGUCAGGUCCAUGGAAUGAACAUCCUGGGUCGUAAAAUUUACUGGAUUAUGACCACAAGAUGUUGUAAAUAGAAGCCCGACACGUUCAGAAGCUCUUUUGUUCACCUGAAACUCCUUUUUUUGCUCUUAGACAUACCCAUCCGUCAAAACCAUGCUGCUGAUAAACUUAAGCCUGAUGGACAAUAGUAACCUCGCAUUCAACAGGAAGAAUGUGACAAAUCUAGUGUUUGCAUGGUUGGUUACAUAUUGUUGCAGCAUUAUUGUCUUCAGUCGAAUGUCAUGAGAAGUGAGAAAAUACUGGUGCUUAAAAAUCCACCGAUUGGUUAUAACUUUCUUACCCUGUCCUAUUGCCUAAAUAGACAUGAAGAUUGAAAACAAUUAAGGUCUAAAAAAGAGUGUCGAAAGAGCAACAACUGAACGGUUAAUUCUAGUACACUAUAUGCGGGCUUCCAAUGUGCGUGAAAUUACCACCUUUAUAUACAACUUAUACAGACAGGGAAAGCAUUGCAGCAAGCCAAUAAUCUCGUUCGGAUCAAAACUAUUCAUUUGGAUAUAUAUAAGAUCUUGACAGAAUCCAGCACCAUUGAUAGGCUAUCCAUGGAGAAACUCUUCAUUGAGCAUAGAACAUAAUAUUAGUACAAAAUGUGUACUCCAAGAUGAUAUAUAACUUAUGCGUAGAAAUUUAAAAUGCAGCUUGUGGUUACAAGUGUAGAUGAUAAUAUAUAGUACCUGAAGAACUAUGGAGCCAAACACCAUCUUGAAAUGAGCACAUAGAUCAUGUUUAGCACAGAGAUCAUGUUUACACCCAAGGUGUCUAGUUUAGGCACAGAGACGAUGGUUAUUUGUGACGGUGAAUAACUAGAAUCAAGGAUCAACCUUUGAAGUGAAGGGGCAUCUUGGAUGAUGAGCUACCUUCCGUCAAAAGAAAUUCCAAUUCUUACAAGGUUAGGUGACUUUAUUUGGAGACAACCAAUUCUAACUGUGAAAACAAGCACCAAGCACUCUAGGGUAGGGCAACUGGAGUGGAUGAUGUUGUGAAAUGAGGCCUCCGAUAUACGAACCCGCACAAGUGAAAGUUUUUUGAGAAAUGGGAGUCGGAGGUUUAGUACCAUAUCGUAUGGUAGGUAGCACAUCGCCAAGGUGGCGAUGUGGAGAGAGGAGGAAAACCGCGAGAUGGACAUCAAUGCUGAGGGCACAAGUACAUGGCAUUCGGUAUCUGGUAGGUGAUUUCCUGGGGAAUAGUAAAACUCAUGCAGUUGUAGUUCUGUGAAUUCAGGGGAUUUCAGCCAGGCGUCCACCGUGCAGGGCAUGGUAUGCUUGCUCAGGUAGCAUGAUGGGAUGUAGAGGCUUUGAACGGAGCCUUGGUGGGAGGAGAUGAUGGCUCUGUGGAGUUCAAAAUCAUUAAAGACAGAUAGCUGACGAUAAUCGAGAUUAAGGGGCACGGCGCGCCAUAGAGGGCGCCACCGAAUUCAGAGGACUUGGGUGUGGCAGCAAUCCUUGGUGGGGAGAAGCGAGAUGAUCUCCCCGAGGAUGGCGUCCGGGAGAUCACUGAUGCGGUCCACCCGAGAUUCUACGGGUUCUUGGGAUCCGGUAGGGGCGAGCUCGCCGCUUCUCCCCGCGCUGUCGGGUGCGGGAUCUAGAACAGGCAUCGCCACUGGUGGGAGCCUCAUCUUCUUGGCACUGGGGUUAGUCGACUUCAUUUUACUCGAGGGCGUCGCGUCGAGCUCACGGAUUUGCGCAGAGUAAUGAAUGAUGAGCCUAGUUGUAGUGCGAGUGAAGAAGAAGGGGAGCUGGGGUUUUUCUAUAGUAGUGAGGAAGAAGGGGAGCUGGGGUUUUCUGUAGGAGUGAGGUGAGGAAUUUGGGCGUACGAGUGGAGCGAGCUGACGUGAGGUGGGUGGGAGUGAGGAGGAAGAAGAGCACCCAGGUUUUUUGGGGAGGGUGUGCUAUGUAGCGCCUCUCAUUAAGUAAAUAUAUGGGCUUUUGAAUUGAUUUUAUAUUUGCAAGGGUGGAUGGGCUGUUUUGUCUUGGGCCCAGAGAAACAAUUACUACUAGUACAGUGGAGACACUCUACGGCUACCCAGAAAAACAAUUACUACUAGUACAGUGGAUACACUACCACGUAUAGCUCCUCCGAGGUCAUCGAAACAUCUCCCUCUACUGAAUGUCGUUUUACAUUUGUUCACCGACAUGCGGGCAAUGCAGCGCGCGGGCCCAAAUGCCAUCCACCAAAUUAGAAGGCAGUAUGCAGGCGGAGAGUCACCCCGGUCAUAGCGCGGCAGUAACGAGUCGUCGUAUCACAAAACCCCACCUCCCCACAGUCUAAGUUUGACGGACGAAGCAACCAUCAUUUCACUCUUCGCUGAAUCCCCUUCUCCCUCACCGUGUAACAUCCCAAAAUUCUAAAUUUUGGAAUGUUAUAUUAAAUGAAUAGUUUUAAUUGUUUGUUUGAUUGUGGUGUGGUUGCUUGUGUGAAAUUUGAAACUUUUUGAAAGUUAAAUGAGAGGGAAUGAAAUGACUUUCCCAAACUUUCGCCUUGAAUUUAUGAUCUCCAUGAACUCAUAUUCAUUUCAUCACAAAACCCUAGAGUGAAGAUGAUAUAACUUCUUCCAUUUAAAUAAAUGAAAAGGGUUUUGAAAAGAUUUGAAUUCUAUUUGGAAAUAUUUCAAAUUCGGAAACUUUAUGUAACUCAAUGAGUUUCAUGAGAGAAGAUAAAAUGACUUCUUCAAAUGCUAAGAAAGAGAGUUGGAAGUUUCAAAGAAUCAAAUUGAAAGUCCCUUUGAAGUUAUUUUGAAACCCACUUUCAAUUUGGAGUUAUUUGGUCUUUAUUCAAAUUAUCUUUCUCCAAAAAUAAAAUAUAUGGAAAAUAGGGUAAAAUGAUUCUCUACAGUAGAAAAGUAGAGAAAAAUGAGUUUGAGAUCAUUUUGGGUAUUUUGAAAUACUUUUAUUUGGUUCUUAAAUGAACCACUAGUACUGUUCGCUUUAUUUAUUUUUUUGUGGAAAUUAUUUGCCGCUGAAAAUAUGUUCAUCAUUUAGGAAAUCGUUUUCUUAAAAUUUUGAUAUAUAAUAUGCCUAUGUACAAUUUCGUUUUUAUUUUCGUUAUUCAGUUUUUGCUUUUCUGUUUCUAUUGAAAAAACAAAAACUGCGCGUGCGCCUAGAACUAACUAUCGCCCACAUGCGCAGCAUAGUGGCAUCGGGCGUCCCAACAUUUUUUUUCUCUCCUACAUGGGCCAGGCCCAGCCAGCCAUUUUAUUUUCUUUUUUUUCCCACUUUGGCAGGAUUUUGUUUAAAAAAAACUACUCGGCCGGCCGAACACUUUUAGGCCCAUGUGAGCGCCUCUCUUUUCGCCUCUAUUUCUUUUCUUUUCGUCUACGUUUAGUCCCACAUUGCCUAGCCUUUGACCCCUAAGCCUCUCUUCCACCUAUAAAUAUAGAACCAUAGAACCUCAAAAAUCAUCCACUAUGGGUUAAGUCAAUAUUUUGGUUUGACUAGCUUCACAAAAGAAAAAUAUAUUUCUUCUCUCCGAUGGGACUUCUGGAAGUUGUCUCCUCUCUCCGAAGUUGUUAUUUCUCUAUCUUAUAAAGGUAUCUUUCUUCGUAUUUUUUACACUCCCAUAGCUUAUUAUUUUUAGACUAGUGUAUGGUAGAAUAAUUAGAUUUAUAAAUUAGUCCAUGUAUUUACAUUUUAAUACUAGAAUUCUUUUAGCCAUAGCUCUUUUUCUUCCGUAAAACAGCUUGACCCUGAUUUUUCAAAUAGCCAUAACUUUUUACUCGUUCAUCCAAGUUAGACGAAACCAACGCUAAUAUUUUCGUCUUGAUUCCACCUAUCUAGUGAAUCUAUCAAAUAAACUUUUUAACUUUAAAAUUUUGAAAUUUUUUCAGAUUCAUACUCAAAUUUCGUUCGAUCAUAUCUUUUUAUCCGUACCUCCAUUUUCGAUGAAGCCAACUGCAUCGGAUUCGUAAAUCUUUCGGUUUGCACAAUUUGUGUCAUCUUUCCAACAUAUAAUUUUGAUCUUAGCCAGUUACUCUACUAGUCCACCAAAGAGUUGUUACACAACAUUCUAAGCAGAUUCAAUGCUAUGUUGAAUUACUUGAUCCGUUAUUUUCAAUCUAGUAAUUCUUUUUCCUACAUUUUCAUAUUGACUUCCUACAUCCAGUAGCAUCAUUAGUUUCAACUUUUGAUCCUUUAAAAUUUGAACUCGAAGCUUCACUUGAUCAUACCUUGUAAACUAUAGCGCUUUUUAAUUGAUUCCCUUUUUCAAAUUGUAUCCCUAGGCAUAAUCUAACAUCUUGAGCCAUCACCACACUUUUUCACCGAAAUUAGGAUCUGAUCUUGCAAAAUAAUUUGAUUUGGUUCUUUUGGAGUUUUUGCAAUAUUUCUUUGCAUUUUUUGGGUGUUUGAGUGAUUUCUUAUGUGUGGAUAAAAUUGCUUACUUACGUUAGAUUGAUCGGAGUGUGACGAGUAGAACUAUCUGGAAUUAUGAGUGCGAAGAAUCUUCAUCAACAGUACAAGGCAAGUUCACACUUUGAUCAUACUUUUCAAUACCCAGUUUUUACUAUGCACUAGUUUGAGUAGGAUUGGGAACAUGUGGCCUUGCUAUGUAGUUCAUGAGGUAGGAACCUAUGAUCUUUGAAACACCUUGGGAAUAUUCGUUGUGUCAUAUGUUGCUUAGCCAUGCUCGUAGAUGGGGAUUGGUAUGUGAGAUUCAUGCAAGUUAUGAGAGAAAUAAUAAUUAAGGGAAAAAUUUAAGGUGGCAACAUUAACACACAUCUGGGUGAAUGGUUGGAGCACCCUAGAGAAACCAGUGGCUUGCCUGGGCACCUGGAGAAACCAGUGUUUGCCCUAGGGGAUCCCGGAGGACCCGUGUGAUCACCCUACAGAAUGCCACCCAGGCUCAAAGGGAUCAUAUGAUAUUUCAUGCCCAGAAACUUCCAUGUGCAGCCACAAGCCAUUAUGGGCUCUGGCAUAGAGUAAGUUGUGGGAAACCUUUCCAUGAUAGGCUAGCAGAUGCAGGGGGAUUGUAGGUGUACCGACCUAUAUAUCGGUUAAGGGGACCUCUUCGAAAAGACUAUGUCUCGAUCAUCCGCUUAUCAAACAACAAGCAGUGCGAGGAAUUCAACGGAGGAGAUCGAGUCUUGUGGGGAAAAGUGCGCAAACCUCUACAGAGUGUACAAACUAAUCAUGAUUAGCCGUGUCCCCUGUUAUGGAUAAUUUUAGUAUCUAGAAGUGAAUUAUUUGUUGAUCUCAUCACUCUAUUUAACUAAUGUAUUGGGUUAUUAAUAAUUUGGGAAUUUUUGGGAUUGAGUUGGAGGAACCUUCUCAAUAAUGGAAUAAACUUGGUAGUGAAUAAAACAUUUAUUCCUUUGUUGUAGGGAAAAAAUUAGCUUUAUGCAAAAUUAAACUUAGAGCCUCCACCAGCCAAAUAUGCAUGUAAUGAUAGAUAUUGUUCAUCAUUAUUCCGUGAUGUGAAUUUGCCAGUACAUUCAACGUACUAACCUACACGGCUUCAAUGUCUCAUGUUGCAGGAAUUAUUCGACGAGUAAGUGAUAUGUUAGGGUUGCGAUGACUACACUCAACUUUGUUGUUGGUGUUGUUGGGACUCCACAACCUUGUUGUUACUUUCACUAUAUUGUUUGAGGUAAUAGUAUUUACAUUAUUUUAUACAUGUGAUUUACCUCUGUUAUAAAUCCUCGAGUACUGUGUGUGUCAGCAUACCAAUCCAGCGAUGAAACUUAAGAACAGAGACUUUGAUCCAUUCGGGUCGAGUCGCUACAAGACACCAUCUUCAAGAAAGCCAAUACUCGCAUCCGCCACUGUUCUUCUCUCCCAACGAAGGGAAGGUAAGCGGAUCCAUGAUGUUGGUAUAUUUUCGUUUAAAAAAAAUAAAAAAACUUUUGCAAAGCAGUAAGCGAUCCUCACUCCCCUUUUUGUUUCAUUGUCAUUGAGAUCGUGUUUUCCUUUCAGUGCUCUCUUAGUAUUCAUCAGUUUCAUGAUGGACCAAGGAGAACCAGGCAAAGAUCUGCCGAUGUUGGACCAGACGCGGGAGGUUGAUCCCCACGAGACAGAGAGCUCCAAGAAGAUGGAGGCAGCCAUCGAGCCGACCCCAAAUAUGCUCAUGGCCACUACUAAGAUGGUCAAUGCCCCGUUUGAGGUUACAACCCCCAUGGCCCUGCAGGAGCAGUUUCCCCCCUUCAAGGAUGUGCCCCCCCCCCCGCUGAGCUGCCCAAGGUGAUUUUCUUCUUUUCCAAUCUCAAUUGUGGUUUUUCAUCUAAGUAUGUGGUGAUAAAUAAUGCAAAAAAUUUAUUAGCUUCGAUGCCAUGCUACCUUCCCUGUCAUGCAUACUUUUGACUCUAGAUAGUGGUUUAAAUAACUUGUGUUUCUUAUAUUGGAAAGUAAUUCAAAAUUUGUUUUUGUUUCAAUUAGAGCCCUAAUGUAGACAAGGAUUAUGUGGUUGUACAUGUCACUCGCUAUGAGGCGGAUGACCUGAAUAUACGCACUGGGAAAACAUCGUUCUUAGGCUAUUGGAUCCUAGAAGCCAUUUGCACUUAUACCAAUGUCGAGAUGUAUUCCAGCCUCACUGUUGUCAGGCGUGUUAUCUAGGGUGUACUGAAGCACAAGAAGUUCAAAGUUGCUCCUUCGUUUGUGAGGCAUACUGUUCUUGUCAAGCUUACGCAGGAAGAUGACAUGGCAUGACUCCACAAACAAGUUUAUGAGUUGCAAGGCCACAAGGUUAUCUUCAGGAAGGUUCACAGGAUUGAGCUGCUGUCGGACGUCCUCGAUGAUGUUCAUGGCAAGGUCUGUCCUGUGUCCAUCCCAAAUUAGACCGAGGAAUGAAAUAGUUGCCCCAACUAGUGUUUAAUAGUAGUUUGGAUUGUGUCUAAUUAUCCGAACCUUGCCUAUUAUCGAGCCCUAUGGGGCUAGUACUCUGUUUAAAUCCAUCUAUGGGAACUGCUGCUACUUUUGUGUGCGUGUGAAACAUGUGAGAACCAUCCUAAUUGUUGCCGAAACAGAUGCGUCAUCACUAGUUUUUUCAUGAAUAUGGCAUGGUAAGACAUAAGUUGUCACGGUUUAUCAUAUGAGUAGUGUGUGUUUGAUGAAAUAGAGUACUCGUUUGAGAACUAUGCACCGACGUAUACAUAGGGUAUGUAAGGCUGGUUAAGUACUUGUAAACACUGUUGGUGCUACCCACUUGUAAGCAGUUGUGCAAAUCACGGCACAUUGGCUCAGCUUGCUUCAACACUAGAAAAGUCAGCUAUCGACCGACUAACAAUCAAUAAUCUGUUGUCUGACAUAUAAGCAACUACGUAUCUUGUUACAGUGGUUCAUGCAGUUAACUGAGGCCACACCGUAAAUUCCAAACGUUCACAUGCUAGUCCAGCAUUCAUGUGGAACAUUCACAUUAAACUCGGCUCCAUAAAAUACUUGAAAAGCAUAAGUUAAGCAAUUUUAUACAUCUCAAUGAUUCAUAUAACAUAACAAACAUAUACUAGUUCACAUCAAAAGACAAAGUUGUGAGAAGGUUUACAAAUCAGGAAAAAUCAAGCAAGGUUUCUCUAAGCAAAGGGCCUCCCUAGGCAGGCUUUAAUUUCUUGGAGUUCACUCUGAUUUUUCUUGUUGCCACCAUCCAGGGUUAGGUUCUCUCAUUCCAGAAUAACCAAUUAUAACUAUGUUCUCCGUUGGAAUGCUGAACCGAACCAUGUAGUGUACUGACCAUCUGAACUUCUUGUGCAGUUCCACUAAAUUCAAGCACCGCUAUUUGCAGAAAUAAGUAGAACACAAUGCCUCUUGUACACUCAUCUAUCCCAAAAACCUCUGUGCAACCAUGCCAGCUAGUUCUUGGUCCAUGGAUGAACUGGGAGAAAGUGCAUUCCUGACUAGGAUGCAGUUGUUUUCGCUCGUCCCUGCACUGCAAUCAGAAAGUAAAAUGUACGAAUCAACUUCUUUUAGAUUGCGUUGGUCAUUCUACCUAGUUACUACCAAUGUAGGAAUACCUGGAAUAUGGGUGGUUAGGCGAUGACAGCUAGGAAUAGCCAUCUCAUUUUGUGCAGUUCUACUAAAACUGAGGUGUGUACUUUUGAUUGCGCAAAUAGAAACGAUAUGGAGACAUACAUCCCUGUUUGCGCCAAUAUGAAAUAUGGUUAUUUCAAGAGUGAAAGUUAUCUGCAGUGGCAUAUGAUUAACAACAGCAUCUAUUGUGUUAUAAUUGGCACUACAUUGACAGUAUGAAAGUGCCCUUAAGUAAGUAGCAUCACAUCACAUCAACACUGCCACUAGAUUAACAUGCAGAACAAUAGCAUUAGUAUUACUGUCACGAGAAUAGCACAUGGUCAGUAAAUGUAUAAUCAAAUUUGUGCAGUUCCACUGGGAUGAAGCAAUGUUAGUGGUGUGAGAUUUAAGUGUAUCUGCAAAAACACAAUUCAUGGGAAAUAAAGCAAGACGGAAGCCCUUCAUAAAAUGCUGGUGGCAUUGCUUCAAUUUAUCGACGGCACUAGACCAUUACUUAAUAGUGGCAUUAGGUGGCAUUGCUUCAAUUUAUCGACGACACUAGACCAUUAAUAGUGACAUUAGGUGGCAUUGCUUAAUGCUUCGUGUGAUUUUAUAUUAAUGGUAGCGAUAUGGUCAUAGGGACAGCAGGGGCAUAAAGUGGUGAGGCAGAUGUGGUUGCCAAGAGCAGAAAACACUUAGGCAGCAUGUAUGCAUUUGUCCCACUUUUUAUCUCCUCGGUGACAUUUUCCUAUGUGAACACAUGAAAUCUAGACCUGCUCAUUCUCAUUUGCGUUGUCCCCCCCAACACCCUCAUUUUCUUUCCUUUUUAUACCAAGAGAUAGGUCCACUUCCCCCCACCCUUCGCCAUCCACCAUGCUUUCUUCGCCUUUUCAGCCAAGAGACCGGUUGGGUAGCCAGUAUCUACUACUUUCCCCUGUUUCCUAUUAGAACCAAGUCCUAGAUUCAUGCUAUAGCUUUCCCACUUUCUUCCCUAUUUGAACCAACUCUUAGAUUCGACUGUAUGAACUAGCUUUACCUCUAAUAAUAGUAAAAGUCUAGGUGGAUUUGGAAUAACCGAUAGAAGUAUAAAAAGAUCCACACACAACCACGUGGGGAGCUGGGGCAGUAGAGCAAGGUAGGUUUCGAAGGAAUAUAUACCUGAGGGUCAUCGCCAUGUGGCAAAGACAGCAUCGGAGGCCGCAUCUUGGCCACAAUACCGCAGGGAGGAAGAAGGGGUCGGAGGCCCUCCCGAGUCGGCGCUGUCUCGAAGAGAAUGACACGACCGCCAAUCGGGACGCGCAGGCAGCUGUUGGUCUCCUCCCUUGCCACUAACGACCGUGUGAAUGAUGCACCUACAUCCCUGUCCAGGUCGAGGUAGUCCGGCCAGAUUUGUGACCAGUCAUGAGCAGAAAGAGAGUGUGGCCACCUAUGUCUUGCUUAGAUCUGGAGAGCAUGAGAGAGUGAAAGAGAGGAACCCUAGUAAAGCAAGCGCCAAGGCUCCUGCUUAUAUAUAUAGUGGAGUGAUUUUUUGUAUGAGCCGUUAUUAAAUUGAAUAUGUAUGAACCACUAUUUUCAUUUAAAGUUCAAGUAAAGUUAAAACUCGAUCAAUAACUUGCCACCACGUCCAGGACGCACAAUACUGUAUCAUUCACGUGCGGUCCCCGACCCUCCAUCAAGUUGAAAACUAGACUAGUCAAAAUGUCAAUUGAGAUGCCUCUUUGUAAACAAAUGCGCUCCUAAAUUAAAAAAAACGCGCUCCUACGUGUACCCACAAGUGGGUGGGUGUGACUGCCUGGAUUUGCCUUCUCUCUUUUUUCGGACUUUCAUUUGCAUUUGCUUUGGAUUUGGAGUUUUGAAUCAAUUCAAAUGGACUUGACACUUGGGCCUACCCUUGAUUUUCACACAAGUGACCCAUCCACCCCUAGCUCAUCUUUCCUUCUCUGAAUAACUCCAACAAAAGCCCAAGGAAUAUUUUUCAUAAAAGAAAAAUAUUCAUUUUCUUCCUUGAAAAUCACUUCAGAGCAGUAUGCUCCAAAGCAACUCCUAGUUUUAUUGCUCCUAAAAUACUGAAUAAAUUCACAAAUAUUCUUUGAACCCUAGGGCACCUCCCUGAGCAAAAAUAUUGCAUAAGGUUUUGGAAUAUUUAUGCUACAAAAAAUCAUUUCUCUUCUAGACAGAAUGACCACACUACACAACAAGUAUAUUUUUCCUUGAUCUUUUGGGGCUGAUCUUUUUUGAGCUUCAUUACCUUCCUAAGAGAAUGCUAAACCCCAAAGCACAACCCUUAAUUCUCACUAGAUUUUUCUCAGAUAAGCUCACAAGUUUCUGUCCAGAAACUUGCCUGGAAGAAACCCACUCACACAGUUCACCUAUGACCCAGCCAACCAUGCAAAACGACCAAAACCACUAAGGACUCCAGACAUGGUGUUUGUGCUUAGCUCAACUUGAUGCCAAAGUUCACGCGGUGACUGCGUUCGUCCAGAGGGGUUGGCAUGCAGCCGACGCGCUCUGCGACGCGCCAGCGUCUCUAUGGCGCACAUGCUCGCUGUCCCGGCUGUCGCACCUUGCCAAACCAUGCCCCCAUCUUCAUCAACACCUUCUUAACCCCGCCUGGCACUCCCCAACGCCGGAGAUCGCCGCAGCGAACACAGGCAUGGGGCGGACAGUGCACCCGUGCCACCGUGCUCGUCCCGUACCGCGCUCCUGUGCUUGUUGUUGCUCGCCUAUAUUCCCCGCGUGAUCUCUAACGCCUUCUUCCCCUCUGACUGACGCCAUUCGUCGCCGGACGCCACUCCAGAGAGCUCCGGCGAGCUCUCGAUCCCCGCCUCGGCCUCGCCUAUAAAGAGAGCCAUCCCGAGCCCAUUUCUCCUCACAAACGCACUCACACCAUCACCACGACGCCGUAGGUAGCCGCAGCCCGGCUAGGCAGGCCUCUGGCCGCCGUUCCCGUCCCGAGCUCGCCGGCGAUCCCUGUCCACUGCCCCUCCCUCUCCAGAGCCGCUCGAGCUCCACUAACUUCUCCGGGGUGUCUGUGGUGGUUCAUUCGUGCAUGCUGGUGCUGUUGGAGCUGCUCGACUGGCCCUGCCUCGCCGGAAUCACCAUCUCCGACGAGCUCCACCCGCCGCUGCCGCUGGAAAGCUUCGUUCCGACCCUAUCCGGCCACCCCUAGCCAUGCUAUGGGUAUGGGCAAGUGCGCUUCAAUCUCCUCUCCACUCCUAUCCUCUCAGAUCUCGUCGCCAGACACUUCUCGCCUGAGAAAGCGCCACCACCGCGCUGCCCGCCUCUGCUUCUCUGCCCUCCCCUCCGACCUGACCGCUGGGGCCCGCUGUCAGCCACUCAGGCCACACUCGGAGCGGUAUAAGUGGUGGUGCCCCGUGAUACGUCUCCGUCGUAUCUAUAAUUUUUGAUUGUUCCAUGCCAAUAUUUUACAACUAUUACAUACUUUUGGCAACUUUUUAUACUAUUUUUGGGACUAACAAUUGAUCCAGUGCCCAGUGCCAGUUCCUGUUUGUUGCAUGUUUUUGUUUCGCAGAAAACCAAUAUCAAACGGAGUCCAAACGGAAUAAAAACGGAACGAUUUUUUUUGGAAUAUUUAUGAAUUUAGGGAAGAAGAAUCAAUGCGAGACGAUGCUUGAGUGUCCCAUGAGGCAGGGGGGCACGCCCCAGGGGGGUGGGCGCGCCCCUGACCCUCGUGGCCACUCCGUAAGGCAGUUGUUGCCCUUCUUUCGCCGCAAGAAAGCCAAUAUUCGGAUAGAAAUCUUGUCCAAAGGGCAAACCAAUCGGAGUUACGAAUCUCUGGGAAUAUAAAAAACGGUGAAAGAGCAGAAUCGGGAACACGGAAACAGAGAGACAAAUCCAAUCUCGGAGGGGCUCUCGCCCCUCCCACGCCAUGGACACCAUGGACCAGAGGGGAAACCCUUCUCCCAUCUAGGGAGAAGGUCAAGGAAGAAGAAUAAGAAGGGGGGCUCUCUCCCCCUCGCUUCCGGUGGCGCCAAAACACCGUCGGGGGCCAUCAUCGUCACCGUGAUCUACACCAACACCGCCGUCAUCUUCACCAACAUAUCCAUCAUCUUCCCCCAUCUAUAUUCAGCGGUCCACUCUCCCGCAACCCACUGUACCAUAUGAUGUGUUGCCAUCCUAUGAUGUCUGAGUAGAUUUUCGUUGUCCCAUCGGUGAUUGACGAAUUGCUAUGAUUGGUUUAAUUUGCUUGUGGUUAUGUUGCUGUCCUAUUGUGCCCUCCGUGUCGCGCAAGCGUGAGGGAUUCCCGCUGUAGGGUGUUGCAAUACGUUCAUGAUUCGCUUAUAGUGGGUUGCUUGAGUGACAGAAGCAUAAACCCGAGUAAGGGGGUUGUGGCGUAUGGGAUAAAGGGGACUUGAUGCUUUAAUGCUAUGGUUGGAUUUGACCUUAAUGAUCUUUAGUAGUUGUGGAUGCUUGCUAGAGUUCCAAUCAUAAGUGCAUAUGAUCCAAGAAGAGAACAUAUGUUAUCUUAUGCCUCUCCCACAUAAAACUUGCUAUCGGUCUAGUAAAGUAGUCAAUUACUUACGGACAAUUUCACAACUCCUAUCACCACUUUUCCACACUCGUUAUACUAACUUUAUUGCUUCUUUAUCUAAACAACCCCUACUUUUUAUUUAUGUGCUCUUUAUUAUCUUGCAAUUCUAUCCAAGAACACCUACAAAGUACUUCUAGUUUCAUACUUGUUCUAGGUAAAGCGAACAUCAAGCGUGCAUAGAGUUGUAUCGGUGGUCGAUAGAACUUGAGGGAAUAUUUGUUCUACCUUUAGCUCCUCGUUGGGUUCAACACUCUUACUUAUCGAAAGAGGCUACAAUUGAUCCCCUAUACUUGUGGGUUAUCAAGACCUUUUUCUGGCGUCGUUGCCGGGGAGUCAUAGCGUGGGAUGAAUAUUCUCGUGUGUGCUUGUUUGCUUUAUCACUAAGUAAUUUUUAUUUGUUUUUCUAAGUUGUUCUCUAUCUUUAGUUAUGGAUAUGGAACAUGAAAUACAAAAAAAUUAGGUGUAGUUGCUACUCAUGGAGAUGGGGAACCUCCUAAAACCCUCGAUGCUGGUUAUGUGAAAAACAUUAUGUACUACUUUGAUAAUCCUGAGAAAACCCCAUUCAAUUAUGUUAUGGGAGACAUGUUGGAUCAACGUGAAUACUUUAGGGAUUAUCGCUUGACAGAAAAAGGGAAACUAUUAUGGGAUCAAAUUCAUAUGUUGCAUUGGUAUGCUCGUCAACUAUGCUUGAGAUAUGAUUAUACUUGUUGCUCUAGGAUGAAGGCUCCACACCUUCCCUUUUCAUGCAAAUUUAAUGAUAAUGAAACCUUAGCUUCUUAUGCUAAUGGUAUAUAUGAUUACUAUGAUGUGGAACAAAUAGAAGAAUUCAUUUCUUUUGUGGGUGCUUAUGAAAUUGAAUCUCUGUUUAAAGAGUGUGAAAAUCUUGAUGAUGUUGUUUACAGACCUGAAAAUUUUGCUAUACUUAAAUAUUGUUAUGAGAAUUAUGAAUACAAUGCCGAUAUUGAUGCGUUUAUUGAUAAAGUCUCCGAUGUCCAAGAAGAGACUAAUAUUUUGCAGGAGUCUAUGGAAGAAGAAAUCGAUGAAACUGUGAGCUCAUUAGAUGAAAAAGAUGAUGAGGAGAGAGAAGAGCAAAAGGAGGAAGAGCGGAUUAGCUACCCGUCCCACCUUCUAAUGAGAUAACUCUUCAACUCAUACAUUAUUUAAUUCCCCUUCGUGCUUAUCGAAGGAUGAUUGCUAUGAUGAUUGUUAUGAUCCUGUUGAUUCUCUUGAAAUACCCCUUUUUGAUGAUGCUUGCUAUGCUUGUGGCCAAGAUGCCAAUAUGAAUUAUGCUUAUGGAGAUGAACUUGCUAUAGUUCCUUAUGUUAAACAUGAAAUUAUUGCUAUUGCACCCAUGCAUGAUAGUCCAAUUAUCUUUUUGAAUUCUCCCUACUACACUAAAUCAGAGAAGUUUGCCCUUAUUAAGGAUUAUAUUGAUGGGUUGUGUUUUACUACUACACAUGAUGAUUUUGAUAGAUAUAAUAUGCACGUGCUUGCUGCUCCUACUUGCAAUUAUUAUGAGAGAGGAACUAUAUCUCCACCUCUCUAUGUUUCCAAUAUGAUAAAAUUGCAAGAAACUGCUUAUACUAUGCAUUGGCCUUUACUUGGUGUGCAUGAAUUGUUCUUUUAUGACAUGCCGAUGCAUAGGAAGAGAGUUAGACUUUGUUAUUGCAUGAUAAAUGUUACUUUGUGCUCACUACUAAAUUACAAAUCAUUGUUAAUUAAAAUUGGCUUUGAUAUACCUUGGGAUCCAGGUGGAUCCAUUACUUGAGCACUAUAUGCCUAGCUUAAUGGUUUUAAAGAAAGCGCUGCCAGGGAGACAACCCGGAAGUUUUAGAGAGUCAUUUAUUUCUGUUGAGUGCUUUUAUAUAGUUUAAAAACAAAAAAAUAAAUAAAGAGGGGAACCCAAAACUUUUCAAAAAGGAAAGUGAAAGUGAGAAAGACAAGCAUUGUUGAAGUGGGGGAGCUCCUUGAACUUUGUUCAUGCUCAAGGAAACUUUGUGAAUCUUGAUUACAGAAACUUUUCAACAAAUAUAAUUAUCCCCUUGUACAAUUCUAUUGUAUUAUAAAAAUAAUGUGCCAAGGUGUGCCUUUAGGAUGUUUACAAUGCUUGUUGGUUUGUGCGGUGCAGGACAGAAACUUUGGCUGUAGUGCGCGAUUUUACAUGUUUUACUGGAACGUCAAACGGUUCUGAUUCUUUUUGCACUGUCUUUCUAUACAAAUUUUUUAUUUUUCCUAAUUUUGGCAGAAUUGUUGGGGUAACAGAAGUAUGGUGAAUGUUCAGGUUUCUACCGACUGUUCUGUUUUUGAUGCAUAGUUUGCUUGUUUUGAUGAAACUAUCAAUUUCUAUCAGUGGAUUAAGCCAUGGAAAAGUUAUAUUAUAGUAGACACAAUGCAAAAAUAAAAUAUUAAUUGGUUUUCAACAGUACUUAGAGUAGUGAUUUGCUUUAUUAUACUAACGGAUCUUACCGAGUUUGUUGUUGAAGUUUUGUGUGGAUGAAGUGUUCGAAGAUCGAGGAGGUCUCGAUAUGAGGAAAAGGAGGAGCGCAAGAGCUCAAGCUUGGGGAUUACCAAGGAAACCCAAGUAAAUAUUCAAGGACACUCAAGCGUCUAAGCUUGGGGAUGCCCCGAAAGGCAUCCCCUCCUUCGUCAACAAGUAUCGAUAUGUUUUCGGAUUCGUUUCAUUCAUGUGAUAUGUGCAAAUCUUGGAGCAUCUUUUGCAUUUAGUUUUCACUUUUCUUUUAUGCACCAUCCUGGUAUGAGAUAGUCCAUGGUUGAUUUAUAGAAUGCUCAUCGCACUUCACUUAAAUCUUUUUGAGUAUGGCUUUAUAAAAUGCUUCAUGUGCUUCACUUAUAUCAUUUGAAGUUUGGAUUGCAUGUUUAUCUUCAUAUAGAAAACUGCCAUUUGUAGAAUGCUCUCUUGCUUCACUUAUAUCUAUUUAGAGAGAUGACAGGAAUUGGUCAUUCACAUGGUAAGUCAUAAAAUCCUAUAUAAAACUUGUAGAUCACUGAAUAUGAUAUGUUUGAUUCCUUGCAAUAGUUUUGCGAUAUAGAGAUGAUAAUAUGUGGGAGGUACUAGUAGAUGGUUGUGUUUGGUAAGGAUAUUGGUGUUAAGGUUUGUGAUUCCCGAAGCAUGCACGUAUGGUCUCCUAACUAUGUAACUAAAUUGGCGCGCACUGUAUUUUGAUUGUUUAUCUUUGCGUGAAGGUCGGGGGCGUGCUAUGGUUAACUCCUACCAACCUCCCCCCUAGGAGCAUGCAUAGUAGUACUUUGCUUCGAGGGCUAAUAAACUUUUGCAAUAAGUAUAUGAGUUCUUUAUGACUAAUGUGAGUCCAUGGAUUAUACGCACUCUUACCUUUCCGCAAUUUGUUAGCCUCUACGGUACCGUGCAUUGCCCUUUCUCACCUCGAGAGUUGGUGCAAACUUUGCCGGUGCAUCCAAACCCCAUGAUAUGAUACGCUCUAUCACACAUAAGCCUCCUUAUAUAUUCCUCAAAACAGCCACCAUACCUACCUAUUAUGGCAUUUCCAUAGCCAUUCCGAGAUAUAUUGCCAUGCAACUUCCAUCAUCAUCAUAUACAUGACUUGAGCAUUCAUUGUCAUAUUGCUUUGCAUGAUCGUAAGAUAGCUAGCAUGAUGUUUUCAUGGCUUGUCCUUUUUUGAUGUCAUUGCUAUGCUAGAUCAUCACACAUCUCGGUACACCGCCGGAGGCAUUCAUAUAGAGUCAUAUUUUUGUUCUAAUAUCGAGUUGUAAGUAAAUAAAAGUGUGAUGAUCAUCAUUAUUAGAGCAUUGCCCCAUGUGGAAAAAAUAGUCCAAAGAAUCCUAAAUAAAAAAGGGGGCCAAAGAAGCCCGCCAAAAAAAGAAAAAAGAACAAAAAGAAAGGGGCAAUGUUACUAUCCUUUUACCACACUUGUGCUUCAAAGUAUCACCAUGUUCUUCAUAUAGAGAGUCUCCUAUAUUGUCACUUUCAUAUAAUAGUGGGAAUUUUCAUUAUAGAACUUGGCUUGUAUAUUCCGAUGAUGGGCUUCCUCAAAUGCCCGAGGUCUUCAUGAGCAAGCAAGUUGGAUGCACACCCACUUAGUUUCAGUUUGAGCUUUCAUACACUUAUAGCUCUAGUGCAUCCGUUGCAUGGAAAUACCUACUCCUCGCAUUGACAUCAAUUGAUGGGCAUCUCCAUAGCCCAUUGAUUAGCCGCGUCGAUGUGAGACUUUCUCCCUUUUUGUCUUCUCCACACAACCUCCACCAUCAUACUCUAUUCCACCUAUAGUGCUAUAUCCAUGGCUUGCGCUCAUGUAUUGUGUGAGGGUUGAAAAAGCUGAAGCGCGUUAAAAAGUAUGAACCAAUUGCUUGGAUGACACCAGGAUGAGCAUGAGGGGUACCUCCAGUUAAGAAAAGGGAGCAUACAAGACUAUAUGAUUUUGUAGGGAUAACAUUCUGAAGCAUUGAUAUUCUGAAAGACAUGAUUGUUUGUUGGGAUGCCCGAAGUAUUAUUGUUUUUAUGUCAAAUGAUAGACUAUUGUCUUGAAUCACUUGUGUCUUAAUAUUCAUGCCAUGAUUAGAUUACAUGAUCAAGAUUAUGCUAGGUAGAAUUCCACAUCAAAAAUUAUCUUUUUUAUCAUUUACCUACUCGAGGACGAGCAGGAAUUAAGCUUGGGGGUGCUGAUACGUCUCCGUCGUAUCUAUAAUUUUUGAUUGUUCCAUGCCAAUAUUCUACAACUAUUACAUACUUUUGGCAACUUUUUAUACUAUUUUUGGGACUAACAUAUUGAUCCAGUGCCCAGUGCUAGUUCCCGUUUGUUGCAUGUUUUUUGUUUCGCAGAAAACUAAUAUCAAACGGAGUCCAAAUGGAACAAAAAUGUACGGAGAUUUUUUUGGAAUAUUUAUGAAUUUUGGGAAGAAGAAUCAACACGAGACGAUGCUCAAGUGGCCCACGAGGUAGGGGCGCGCGCCCCAGGGGGGUGGGCACGCCCCUGACCCUCGUGGCCACUCUGUAAGGCGGUUGGUGCCCUUCUUUCUCCACAGGAAAGUCAAUAUCCGGAUAGAAAUCGUAUCCAAAGGGCAACCCAAUCGGAGUUACGGAUCUCCGGGAAUAUAAAAAAUGGUGAAAGGGCAGAAUUAGGAACGCAGAAACAGAGAGAGACAGAGAGAUAGAUCCAAUCUCGGAGGGGCUCUCACCCCUCCUACGCCAUGGAGACCAUGGACUAGAGGGGAAACCCUUCUCCCAUCUAGGGAGAAGGUCAAGGAAGAAGAAUAAUAAGAAGGGGGGCUCUCUCCCCCUCGCUUCCAAUGGCGCCGGAACGCUGCCGGGUGCCAUCAUCAUCACCGCGAUCUACACCAACACCGUCGCCAUCUUUACCAACAUCUCCAUCAUCUUCCCCCAUCUAUAUCCAGCGGUCCACUCUCCCGAAACCCGCUGUACCCUCUACUUGAACAUGGUGCUUUAUGCUUCAUAUAAUUAUAAUGAUGUGUUACCAUCCUAUGAUGUCUGAGUAGAUUUUCAUUGUCCUAUCAGUGAUUGAUGAAUUGCUAUGAUUGGUUUAAUUUGCUUGUGGUUAUGUUGCUGUCCUAUAGUGCCCUCCGUGUCACGCAAGCGUGAGGGAUUCCCUCUGUAGGGUGUUGCAAUACGUUUAUGAUUCGCUUAUAGUGGGUUGCUUGAGUGACAGAAGCAUAAACCCGAGUAAGGGGGUUGUGGUGUAUGGGAUAAAGGGGACUUGAUGCUUUAAUGCUAUGGUUGGGUUUUACCUUAAUGAUCUUUAGUAGUUGCGGAUGCUUGAUAGAGUUCCAACCAUAAGUGCAUAUGAUCCAAGAAGAGAAAGUAUGUUAGCUUAUGCCUCUCCCACAUAAAACUUGCUAUCGGUCUAGUAAAGUAGUCAAUUGCUUAGGGACAAUUUCACAACUCCUACCACCACUUUUCCACACUCGUUAUACUAACUUUAUUGCUUCUUUAUCUAAACAUCCCCUACUUUUUAUUUAUGUGCUCUUUAUUAUCUUGCAAUUCUAUCCAACAACACUUACAAAGUACUUCUAGUUUCAUACUUGUUCUAUGUAAAACGAACGUCAAGCGUGCGUAGAUUUGUAUCGGUGGUCGAUAGAACUUGAGGGAAUAUUUGUUCUACCUUUAGCUCCUCGUUGGGUUCGACACUCUUACUUAUCGAAAGAGGCUACAAUUGAUCACCUAUACUUGUGGGUUAUCAUCCUGCUGGCUUACGCCUUUGACGUCACCCCCCAAGUUUUUCUUUUCCUUUUUCUACUUCAGAAUAAAACAGAAACUUUGAAAUGCAAUAACUUUUAUUCUACAAGUCCAAAUGAGUUGAUUCUUUUUGCAUUAUGUUCUUACUGGAAAAAUCCUAGUAGCACACCCAAGAUGAGAUUUUUCUCUGCUGUCUAGAAUUUCUGGUAAUUUUCAGAAGUGUUCUUGUUAUUUUCUGUUUGUCAUUUGAAUUAUUUUCAGAAGGUGAAGCUUGUCUUGAAGGCAUCCAGGAGGAGUGCGAAGCUCCUCUGCACUAAGGCAAGCCACACCAACAUUUUCAUGGUGUCUUUGCAAUAGCCAUGAUUUUCCACUUGAAUAUAUAUGAUAUUCAUUGCGUAUAGUAUUAAAAUGAAUAAUGCUUGUGUUAUUUAGUUUGUCAUGGUCAAGAUGCUUAGUUAACAGAAAUGAAUGUUUGAACUAGUGAGAUAUAGCAUGAGUAGUUGGACUAAGUGAGUUUGUCAUGACUAUGGUAAUAUGAUAAUCGGUAUUAUUUUUCUUAUAUGCAUGAUGAGUUUCGUAUGAUAAAUGCCAACUAAAAAAAUGAUGAGUAUAAAUGACUAGUAAGUAAGGACCAGAAAUGUUGAAAGAUGAGUUGUUCAAGUAGAACUUUGAAUGAUGUUGAUCUGUUGUUUCUAAGGGAUAUGUGAUGCAUGUUACAUGGUUGCAUAAGCAUGGCAUAUAGUGACUCGAGCAUUUUAUUUCAAGUUAAACCUGAUGAUAAUUGAACUUGAACAUAAAGUUGGUCGGGUCAUGGUGCCACUGAAUUGGGUUGACAAGUGCAACCACAUUUGCCUUAGUAUGGGGAGGCCGUUAGUCGACCUGUUGUCAUGCCUCUUGUCGAUGCCUCCAACUAGGGAAGGUUAUGGGCAUGCAUUACCCUGGACCGGUAAGCAGACAUGACCUUGUGAGCCCGUUGUUGUUAUGGUACCUUGUCCCCGUUUGGGACCAUUUAUUUGCCAUGACGGUGGCCGUUUUGCCUUUGGUAGGCUGGGGCCACCCAUGACUUAGCCUAGUGGGGAGUUGGUCGGAGUGGCCGAAAGAGUGUCAUGGCAAUGGGAGAGUUCUGUCGGAAUGCCGUUGGUCCACCCGAAUGGGAGUGUGAGGCCAUGGGUUCCAUGGUGUGGGUAAAGUGCGCUACCUCUGCAGAGUGUAUUAAUCUAUAGAUAGCUGCGCCUGCAGAUAAGGGCCCAGUUCGUAAGUAAGUCACACCAUGGAUCAACUUUUGUAAAUAAAACUUGCACACUAAGUUAUUUGCAUUGCACUGGUUGAAUCAUGAUGAUGUUAGUAAGACUGGCUGGUGUGGUAUCGUUUGUGAUCCGUGGGUGAUCACCGUUUGGUUACAAUGUAACCCAUUGAACCGAGUAUGGUUCCAUUUGUGGUCCGUUAUGAUCACCGCUUGGUUGCGAGGCAACCCGUUGGUAAGAGAGUCCGAGGGACUUAGUGCACAAGUUUGGUUUCACUGCAUGAGUAGCAGGUUGCUGGUUGCAUUUAACUUGAUUAAAUGUCAUGAUAUUGUUUGCCAUUAUGUUUAUGCUUGUUGUGAGCUUGCAAGUACAUUCAAUGUACUGACCUAGCAUGUUAUGCCAGAUUUCAGGAAAGUUUAACUGGAUCGGAGUGCUGCCGUGUCUAGACCGUCUCCACAUUGGUGUCCCUGUGCGGUGGAGUCCCACUACAUCGUUGUUCCGCUGCCAUGUAGUUGUCGUGAUUGAGGCCCCUUUAUGUUCACUAAAUAAUGUACAUUUGUUCAGCCACACCGAGUGUGCCGCUUGGCCUCGAGACUUGAUGUAACAUCGCACUAUGCUUCCUCUAGUUUCAAUAAAGCGGUUAUUUUCUGUACCAAGAUGUUGUGUAUUGCCAGAAGACAUGAUCUCUGGGUUGGCAAUGCAAGGUAAACCGGUUGCUCUGAGCCGGGGUGCCACAACGCUUGGUAUUAGAGCCGCGCUGACUGUAGGAUACGCUAGACCCUGACACGUUAAGUUGGACGAUAGUAAGUUUGCGAAUUGAGUGCCAGUAGUGUUUGCAUGAAAAUGAUGCAUUGCAUACAUUAGACUUAUUGUUAUUUCUAACUGUUUAAUGGUUGUGAGUGUAGAUGGCUCCGGUGCCGUAUUCGUGUCAGUUGGAGAUGAUGCCAUACACUUCACCGCAUCUCCUUCAUAACAUGUGGCGUCGACUGUACCCUUACGGUGACGACCCAGCAUAUCAGGUGUACCGGGAGCGUCUAGCCGACUCCAUGUAUGAGUAUCACGCCGUGGUUACCCUGUGCACCAGUUCAUCAGUAGGAUCUUACACUCGUACCUCUCAGAGCGGUUAUGCAUCCACCGCCGCUCAAGCCGUCCAGUAUGCUGCAUUCGAGAUUCUUGUUGAGCUACGCUAUAUGGAGGCUCGGAUGCCGAACCACCCAGGUUUUUCGCUUCUACCCAUCUUUGCACGAUGAUGGUCGCGUUUGCUUUCCUUCCAUUGAUCCGGUGUAUGAUAGUGACACUAGCCACCUUUCUUGAUAUAUCACUGCUAGUUAUCUUCUGAUUCAUGAGUUGGCUCGAGAGCUGAAUCGUGCUCAUUCUGCUUUGGUAGCCGCUAUAUCCUACCCUACUCCCCCUUCUAUGUGAUUUACUCCUUAUAUUGUGCCCAGUUCUAGCUCGCCUAUUUCCCCGGUUACUCCCCCGAGUAGCUCGGGCACCUCGACUGUGAACCCACACAAUGCUUCUGCUGAGUGGGCGUCUCUUCUUGCUACCCUCGUAGCACCCAUGAUCCCUUCUCAUCCCGCGCGCACCCCUGAGGGAGAGCUCUCGAGGCAGGGCCGUCGUGUUACCUUUAACCCAGAGGUCUCGAUUAACACGUCAGUUCAGAAUCUGGGUCUGACUCAGGAGAGGAUCCGGCAGCACCGGCAACGUCCUAGAGCGUCUGAGUAUCCGUAGUGGCCAUGUGAUGUACGAAUGUAGUUGUAUGAGCCAUGAUGUAUCGUUGCAUGUAUGCGAGUAGUCACACCAGUCAUGAUAUCUAUCUUUCAUGUAUGAGUCUAUGUAUAAUUAUGUUGGAGCUUUUUAUUCGAUCGCCGUGUUUCUCGAUUCAUUCGUUUUGCUCUUUCGGGUUUGUCACUGGCUUUUCUUCCCAUGUUUGGAUGUUGCUCAUCACGGUUGCUCUUAUUGGAAAAAAUAAACAGUAGGAUGACGCGGGGAGGCAACAACACACAGACUUGUGAGGAUGUCCCUGUUUGUUGCUCAGCAAGACAGGCAGGACACUCCCCCGAGCCAUAUCCGCAACCACCACCUCCACCAUCAAAUCCACCCUCCAUUGAACAAAUUAUGCGCAUGUUUGAAUAAAGAAGGAACAAUGAUCUGAUUGAGCUGUUAAAAAGUGUGCAAGCUAUGGUUGGGUAGAAUGGGAAUCAAAAUGGCCAUCACUCCAAGCUGUCAGAUUUUCAAAGGACUAAGCCUCCCAGUUUCAGUCAAGUGGUUGAACCUUUGGAAGCACAUGAUUGGUUACGAACUAUUGAGAAGAAGCUUGAAAUUACUCGCACUAACAAAGUUGACAAGGUUCUGUUCGCUACCCACUAUCUUGAAGGAGCCGUUGCUAUAUGGUGGGAUAAUGCUAAAGCUCUAUGGCCUGCGGGAGAAGAAAUCACGUGGACUAAUUUCAAGGACCAAUUCCUCAAGUACCAUAUUCCAGCUGGUAUCAUGAAGGUCAAGCAACACGAAUUCCUUGGUCUCACUCAAGGGAGUCUGUCAGUAGGUGAAUAUUUGCACAAGUUCAACCAUCUGGCCCAUUAUUCCGUCUAUGAUGUGGCCACGGAAGAAAGAAAGAUCGACAGGUUCCUUGGAGGAUUAAACCAACACCUCAGGAGUGCUCUCUGCAUGCUCGACUUUCCAGAUUUUCAGUCUCUGGUAAACAAGGCCCUCAUCGUAGAACGAGAGUACAAGCCUGUGCAAGACAACCAACCCGCAAAUAAUGACCACAAGCGUAAAUUCAAGUCGAAGAAGGACACACAACCCAUGCAGAAGGCCCGUACCUGGCAACAGACUCAAGUGGAGUACAAGCCAAAUUGGCAGCAAAAUGUGAAUAAGACCAUGACUCAAGUCAAGAAUGUCGUGACUAGUCCAGUGCACGAGGAUUGUCGGUGCAACAACUCCUGCUUUAGUUGUGGACAGACCGGACAAUUAUGCCAGACAGUGUCCCAAGAAAUCAAAUGCCCCAUUCCGGCCGCAAGUCAACCACAUGGGGCCAUAUCAUACCCAGAAGAUCGUCCAAGGGAAAGUUCAUCACCUCUUCGCAAACGAAGCCCACGAAAACCCAGAAGUCGUCAUUGGUAUGUUUCCUAUUAAUAAUAUAUCCGCAAUAAUUUUAUUUGACUCUGGGGCUUCCCACUCUUUCAUUUCUCAGAGUUUUGUUGCCCGAAACAAAUUUCAUUGCUCGCUUUUGGGAAAAAGUAUGAUGGUUCAAUCCCCGGGAUCCAUGCUCGAAAGCAAUUUGGUCUACCGAAAUUUGGAAAUUGAUAUCAAGGGAGUCCGUUUUCCAACUACUUUGCAUCGAGUCUGCCAAGUUGGAUGUUAUUUUGGGAAUGAACUGGUUGACCCAAUAUCAAGUAUGCAUAAAUGUGCGACCCGAGAAGCCACCUUGAUAAAUCAGGAAGGGUGAUCCAUAAAAUUCUAUGCCCGCAAAAGCAUACCCAAAGGAGAUCUGGUCUUCACAUCAGUAGCUGAAAAAUUGGAUCUGAUUCCUGUGGUCAGUGAAUUUCCUGAUGUAUUCCCCGAGGAAUUACCCGAAAUGCCUCCAGGCAGAGAGCUUGAGUUUGCAAUUGAUCUUGUUCCUGGCACUGCACCAUUGUACUAAAAGUAUUAUCGAAUGCCUCAAUUCGAACUCGUGGAAUUAAAGAAAUAGUUGGAUGAGAUGCCAUAGAAAGGUUAUAUCCGCCCAAGCUCGUCACCAUGGGGAUCACCCGCAAUAUUUGUAGACAAGAAAGACGACAGUCUCAGAAUGUGCGUGGACUAGUGAUAACCCACAAGUGUAGGGGAUAAUUGUAGCCUCUUUCGAUAAGUAAGAGUGUCAAACCCAACGAGGAGCUAAAGGUAGAACAAAUAUCCUCUCAAGUCCUAUCUGCCACUGAUACGACUCUACGCACACUUAGUGUUUGCUUUACCUAGAACAAGUAUGAAACUAGAAGUACUUUGUAGGUGUUGUUGGAUAGGUUUGCAAGAUAAUAAAGAGUACGUAAUUAAAAAGUAGGGGCUGUUUAGAUGAAAAAGCAAUAAAUAAAUAUAGCGAGUGUGGAAAAGUGGUGGUAGGAGUUUUGAAAUGUCCCUAAGCAAUUGACUACUUUACUAGACCGAUAGCAAGUUUUAUGUGGGAGAGGCCACUGCUAGCAUGUCAUCCCUGACUUGGAAUUCUACGCACUUAUGAUUGGAACUAUUAGCAAGCAUCCGCAACUACUAAGGUUCAUUAAGGUAAAAUCCAACCAUAGCAUUAAGAUAUAUUGGUCCCCCUUCAAUCCCGUAUGCAUCAAUUUCUAUGCUAGGUUGAAGCUUAUCCCACUCUUGCCCUCCAAUACAUAGUCCUAUCAACAUACAACUAACCCUAUGGUGUGAUCCAUGCGCACGCUCAUAUGACGGUGUCGGUGGGAAAUGACACCUAUGGGAUCACAAGAAUGCCUACUAUGGUUGCGGGGCGCGGGAUCAUGAGAAGAGAGGGACUAGUGCACAGCACAAAGGGGAUUUACCUAGGUUCGGGCCGCAAAGAUGCGUAAAACCCUACGAUCCUGCUUUGGUGGAUGUAUUUAGUGUUCUUGAGCUCUUGAACUAGCUCUGGGUGUGGCCAGGUUCCAAAGAACCGAAUCCCUCUCCGGUGCGCCAUGGGCCUCCUUUUAUAGGUGAAAGGGGUUGCCACAGUGGCACACAGGAGGUGGAAACUGCUAUAGCGUUGUGAGCUUAUUGCUGGUAUUACAGGACAAAGCGCAUUUAAUGCGAGGCUUAGGUGUCCCUUCACUUUAUCGAGGACGGGAGUGAGGCCUGUCCCGUCUGUCGCCGCUCCUCCUUGCUUCGACACGCGCCCUGGCUAGCGGUGCAUGCGGUGCCAUGUAGGCAGGCAGGCAGUUGAGGUGGC